This 81090-nucleotide long non-coding RNA is filed under the name Citrus maxima (pomelo). RNAcentral's name for it is "long non-coding RNA (CMAX_LNC003928)". The record is from RNAcentral. Lineage: Eukaryota; Viridiplantae; Streptophyta; Magnoliopsida; Sapindales; Rutaceae.
CUUCCAACUGUUGAGCAACUUAACUUGGCACUUAAUAGAUUUUCUGGAACCAUUCCUAGUUCCAUCACCAAUGCUUCUAAGCUCACCUUUCUAGAGUUGGGAGCAAACACAUUUUCGGGGUUUAUUCCAAACACAAUUGGUAAUUUAAGAAACCUUAAGUGGCUCGGCUUGGCUAAUAACUCCUUGACAUCUUCAACCUCAAAAUUGAGCUUUCUUUCCUCUUUGGCAAAUUGCAAGAAAUUAAGAUUCGUAAACUUAAUAGGCAAUCCACUGGACGGCUUCCUUCCAAGUUCAAUAGGUAAUCUUUCUGUGUCUUUGGAAACACUUGGCAUCGGCAAUUGCAGUAUUAGUGGCAACAUUCCUCCAGCAAUUAGCAAUUUAAGCAACUUGUUGACCUUAGUAUUACACGGCAAUAAAUUGACUGGACCAAUCCCAACUACAUUCGGCCAACUGCAGAAACUCCAAGGCUUAGAUCUUGCAUUCAAUAAGUUGGUAGGUUCAUUCCCAGAUGAGCUUUGCCAUCUGGCAAGGCUGGAUCAAUUGAUCUUAUUUGGCAAUAAGCUUUCAGGAUCUAUACCUUCAUGCUUAAGCAACCUCACUUCUCUAAGAUCUCUCUAUUUAGGGUCUAAUAAGUUUACUUCUGUUAUUCCCUCAACCUUCUGGAGCCUAAAAGACAUCUUGUUCUUUGACUUUUCAUCAAAUUUCUUGGUUGGUCCUCUUUCUUUAGAUAUAGGAAAUUUGAAGGUGCUUCUAGGAAUAAGUUUAUCGAAAAAUAAUUUAUCCGGUGAUAUCCCAGCCACAAUUGGAGGACUGAAAGAUCUUCAAUUUAUGGACCUAGCAUAUAAUAGAUUGGAAGGCCCAAUUCCUAAAUCAUUUGGUGACUUGAUAAGUUUAGAAGUUCUGAAUUUAUCAAAUAAUAAAAUCUUUGGGUCUAUUCCAACAUCCAUGGAGAAACUUUUUUACCUCGGAGAGUUAAAUCUCUCUUUCAAUAAACUAGAAGGUGAGAUUCCUAGUGGAGGAACUUUUGCCAACUUCACAGCUAAGUCAUUUAUGGGAAAUGAGUUUUUGUGUGGUUUACAAAAUCUUCAAGUCCAACCAUGCAAAGUUAGCAAGCCGAGGACAGAACAUAAAUCAAGGAAAAAGAUACUUCUCAUUGUGAUUGUUUCGCCAUUGAGUAUUGCUCUAACAAUAGCAAUCACUCUAGCUCUCAAAUCUAAGCUGAUCGAAUGUGGAGAAAGAAGCACAGUGUUGUCAAAUGAUAGUAUCUUGUCAUCACAAGCAACACUAAGAAGAUUUUCAUACUUAGAACUUUUACAAGCAACAGAUAAUUUUGCUGAAAACAGCAUAAUUGGCAGAGGAGGUUUCGGUUCCGUUUAUGGAGCAAGACUUGAAGAUGGGAUGAAGAUUGCAAUAAAAGUGUUUCACAGGCAAUGUGCAAGCGCAUUGAAGAGUUUUGAGGCUGAAUGUGAAGUGAUAAAAAAAAUUCGCCAUCGAAACCUUAUCAAAGUUAUCAGCAGUUGCUCGAACGAUGACUUCAAAGCAUUAGUCCUAGAAUACAUGUCCAACGGGAGCUUAGGGGAUUGGCUGCAUUCGAGCAAUUACGUGCUGAAUAUUUUUCAAAGGUUGAACAUACUAAUUGACGUUGCAUCAGCUUUAGAAUACCUCCACUUCGAUCAUUCAACUCCUAUUAUUCAUUGUGACUUAAAGCCUAGUAAUGUAUUGUUGGACGAAAAUAUGGUUGCUCAUUUGAGUGAUUUUGGCAUAGCAAAGCUUUUAAGUGGAGAAGAUGAGUCUACGAUGCGAACAAAAACCCUUGCCACUAUAGGUUAUAUGGCACCAGGUUUGCUUCAAACAACUUUUUUUUUUUAAACUUCAUUUUAAAUUUUCUAAAUCAUUGAUUUUUACGAUCCUCAUAUCAAAUUGUUAUUGAUUAUUUAUCUAAUUGUGAAAUUAAUUUGAUUCAUAGAGUAUGGCAUAGGAGGAGAAGUAUCUACAAAAAGCGAUGUUUACAGCUAUGGGAUUAUGCUGAUGGAAACUUUUACCAAGAAAAAACCCACAGAUGAAAUUUUUGUUGGAGAAUUGAGCUUAAAGCAUUGGGUUAAUGACUUGCUUCCUAAUUCAUUAGUGGAAGUUGUGGACAAAACUCUGCUAAGUGGAGAGGAAAAACACUCUGCAGCAAAGGAGCAAUGUCUGUUGUCUAUCUUUAGUUUGGCUCUGGAGUGUACAAUGGAAUCACCGGAAAAGAGGAUUAAUGCAAAAGAUAUUGUUACCGGAUUACUCAAGAUAAGAGACACAUUCAGUAAAAGGAUAGGAAAUUUAAGUUAAUUUCGUUUGCUUUCAUUGAUAGUUAAUUCGAAUUCAUGUAAUAAGUGUAAGAAUCUUAUAUCUUUUCCUUUGAUAUAUUUUUUUUCUUGAGAAAACUGUUGUAGUCAUCUUGUUUCCAUGGGCAGAGUUGAUUUAGUUCUUCCAAAAAAUGCUACUGAUGACCUUUGUUUAAUACUUUCUCUUUUUUUGCAUGUGUUUAGGUAGAACAGUGGUUUGGCUGCAGGCUAAUAAGUCAAGCUACGCCAAAAGCGUAUGAUUUAAUUUAUUAAACAUAACUUCAAGUUCAAGAAGUGUUUCUCAUUGCCACCAAUGCUUUGGACACCUGUUGGAAGGUUUGUUGUCCUCAGCUUUUGUUUAGAGCAAAAGUUCGAGUCCCAUAAAGGCUCAAACAUUCCUUUCCUUCAUCCCGAGGGCGCCUUCUGUCCUCUGUUUUCUGUUUCCACACACAAAUAGCACAAAGAAUUUAGAAUGACAACUGGGACAUAUAUAAGAGUGAAAUAAUUAAAAAAAUUAUGCUUUUUUGUUUGUCGUGUUAAAAUCGUAAGUACCGAAGUACUGUGAAAGAGAUUAAUUUACAGAAACUGAAGCCAAGGGUUCAAAAAAAACUAUUGAUGUAGCUAGAAUGCAAUGUCAUAUUCAUACAGAGAUGAAGUAUAUUAUUUACGGCUGGUAAGGACUAGGAAUUGAUGUAGCUAGAAUCCAAAGAUGAUAAGGUAUGUUGUGCACUAUUGUUUUAUUCUACGGUCAAUCUUGACCCUUGGUGCUUGGCUCUCAAUCUUGUCCAUUGAUCUUCUCUGAUCUUGGAAACUUCAAGACCUUUCACUCUCAUGCCUUAUUAUUGGUGUCUUCCAUGCUGUAGCUUUCAAAUACAAGCUUUCCCGCCAACUUGCCAAUUAUUUGUCCGUUGGUGCAUUUUAUCAAACAGUUUGGAUACUUAUACCAAACGCCUCCUGUUUUAACUCCCCCCUCAAGCUCAAGCAUGUGGGAAGACAUUAAUAAGCUUGUUUCUCAAGUAUAUGUAUCUGAAAAUUAAAUUUUAUAAAUUAUAUUCGGACUCUACAUUUUCUAAUGAACAUUGGUUUGGCUUAUAAGCUUAUUAUACUCAGGUUUGGUAGGAGCCAUGUCACAAUGUUAACGCUAACCAGCAGUACUGCCAAAGCUGGCCAACUCAGCCUGCAAGUUCAUAGCAACCAUAGUUACAGUCCUAGUCCGGUACAAAAAUCGUAAAUAUCAUUUACAUUACAAUGGUGUGGGGGGGGGGGGGGGGGGGGGGGGGGGGUGGCUGGAGAGGGAAUCAACAAAGAUCUAGAACGAAGGGUAGGCUUGUAUCCGUAACCCAUGUCACAGUGUUAAUGCUAACCGUGGACCUUAUUAUAUUAGUUUCUGGACUAUUAUUACUUUUGAAUUGCCAUCUUUGAAUUUACGUUCAUUUCUGCCUCGACAAGAUGUUUGUAAAAAUAUGCUAAUUAUUAAUGUGCCGUGUACAAAUAAGCAUGUUACUGUGCAAGGAUUGUAGUCAUGAUACAGUGGUGCAAAAUGUACAUGCUACUUCUUCUUUUCCUCAGUUAGGAUCACCGUCGUCACCAUUUAAUUCUAAGUCCACCCAUGCGGCCUAUGCAAUUGAAAUCAUGUGACCAUGUAAUUUUAGGUUCUGAUCUUCCUUGUGGGGUUAAACCUCAAAACUGUGACCAUUUUGGGACUUUUAAUCAGUUCCAAUCAUUUUCUGGUUCCCAUUCGUCCACCCAAGCCUUGAUUCCCCCGAUAUAGCAUGGCAAUAUAUAUAGGAAUAUUAAGGUUGUGUACAGUUUUUUUCUUUUCUGUUUUUAAUUUGAUAUAAAUUAUCAAUCAUGAAUCUACAUAAAGUUUCAACUAGGCUACUACCACAAUAAACAUUUGGAUGAACUAUUAUUGAAACCUUAUUGAGAAGUAGGACAUGUCGCAUACCAAUGCACUGACAUAUCUUCAAAUAGUGGUAACUCCACACAACAUGGCACAAUAAAUUAAGAGUUAUAUAGAUAAAAUCUUUCACUCUUUGGUAAUCAUCAAUGUCGGCAUGACAAUGCGUCCCACAAAUAUGGCUCCUUAUCAAAAUUCAUAAAUCAAAACAAAAAUAGAGAAUCAUAUUUGUUCCAGAUUGUAGUGAUGGUUGUUGAUGCACUCACAAUUUACAAUUUUAUUUAAUAUCUUCAAAUUCGCAUUUUAAAAUGCCCAAAUGUUUGUGUAUACAUAAUUAGAUAAAAUCUUUCAUUCUUUGGUAAUCAUCAAUUUCACUAUUAUUCGCUUUAUUAUGUUUGUUUCUUUCAGUAUGUUAAAAGAUUAUGUUGUGAAUUUGUUUUACAGGCCGCCCGUAAGUCUGCGCCCACUGUUGUGAAUUUGUGUAUACAUAAUUAGUAAUCGAUUCUCAAGCACGGACAUUUAAAAGCACUGCCGAAAGACAAAAUUUUAAUUUACUAUUUUUUGUCUUUUAAUUUUCUUUAAGUUUUAAUGAUUCCGCAUUUUAAAAUCCUGUGGAACGUGUAUGUAAAAUUCUUUUAUCUUUUAGAGGAAAACGGGCAAGAGAAGAAUAUUUGGCAAAGGAAUUGCAACCGCAUUUGGAGCUAUAUUUAAUUUUGUCUUUUAAGUCUUUUACACUUGUUUUUGUUAUUGAUGUUAGCUUGGAUGUGUGUGCGUGUGCGACUGAAUUCAACUUACAUGCUAUUGAUGCAGCCACCAAAAAGGGGUGGUCCAUCAUCAAUCAACAAGGUUUAUUAUUAUUAAUUUCCAUAUUGAUUUUCUUAAUUAUAAAUAAUACUAAUGUUAUUUCAUAGUUAUAAAUAUAUUAGAAUUAAUCGAAAUCAUUUUUUAGUGCGGCAUGGCUAAAACUACCCUCUUCUUUUUUUUUAUAAGUAAUUACUACUUUCACAUUAAGAAAAAUACUCCUAUUUUUUAGGAAAAGUCAAGUACCUGUAGUUGUGAAGACUCGAGCUCACUCCCUUAUGAUAAAUCUUCAUAUUAAUUACGUAAAUAUCCUCUAAAAUUUUAAAUUAGCUAUUCAAAAUUUGAUGUUAUACGGGUAUUUCAUUUAUUUGAGUAGGGGUUAGGGGUCAAUUGGAUACAAAUUCAAAAUUAUCCUUACUUGAGAUGGUGAUAAAAAUUGGGGAUUUAAUUUGGAUGUCAUUAGCUACAAAUAUUAAACUCAUACAUUUAAUUCAAAAUUGGAGGGCUGAUAUAAGCGCAUCAUCCCACAACCUCUCCAAUGAAAAAUUAACACGUUUCUUGUGUGCAUUUGAUCAGAAUCCUGAAAAUUAAUCACAAAAUUGUCCUGGAAAAAAAAAUACUUACAUAAAUGGUUUGAAAAAUCUAGAUUUCAAGUUGUCUAUAUUAGGUUGAUAUUUUUAUAAAUAGUCAUCCUCUCAAAAAAAUUCCGUCAAAAUAUAUUUUAAUUUUAUGUUAAUUCAUAAACAUGAAAAAAUCAUUUCAGAAUUAAUUAAAACAUAAUUUAUUGUUUCUCAAAAAAGGUAGAACUUAGUGAUAAGAAAAAAGUAUCUCAAAUAUAUGUAAAAAAAAAAAAAAUCUUGGUUAGUUGGAAUGAUUGAAUUUGUUUUUUUUUUUCUUUUUUAAGAAUUAAGACAAUCGGAUUGAUUGAGUAAUAAUAAUAUAUAUUUAUUUGGCAAAUGGCAGGUAGGCUUUCGUCUCAUGCAGAUUGAUUAGAGAGAAAAUAUAACAAUUUUAAGCUCGUCAGAUUCGAAGCUGCUUUCCUGUCGUGUGGGGAUCACUUCCGUGUCUUAUUUUUCUAGAAAAAUCAGGACCAUUGGAUUUAUGCGAAUCGUACUGAACAUUGGAAUUGAUGUAUAAGAAAAAAAUUCUGUAGUUUAAGAAGAACAAAAAGGCAUGUUGAAUAGAUUACAAUAGUUUAAGGAAAAAAAUUAUUCAAUUGGGAAUUUUUUUUUUCUUUAAUUUUUGUUGUACUUGAUUGAGAUUUCUCCUUAGUCCUUAGAGUUUUAAGUUUGGAAACCGUAGGAUCAGUAAUUUCGUACUUCCUUUGCAAGCUGAGUAUAAGGAUGAAAUUCUUUUAAGAAAUUAAAAAAGAUAAAAAAAAGCAUACCAAUAGGUAAUUAUAAAUAACCACAAAUAAAUAUAAACAAAAUGUUUAUGAAGUAAAUUAAACAUGCUCAUAUUAUUUUCUUUUAUUUUCUACUUGGAAAUCCAUAAAUACACUAAUCCAGUAUUACUAAUUUCAGACAGAAAAAUUUGAAUUUAACCAGUAUACACUAAUCCAGUAUUAUUUUUAUUAUUAUUUUAAUUUGUUUAUAAAUUACUAUUUUAAUUUUCACUUUUUAUUGGGUUGUUUAACGGAUUAGUGAAGCUGGUGGUCGUUGAUGCACUCACAAGGUACAAUUUUAUUUUAGAAUUUCAAAUUCGUAAUUUAAAAUGCAGGCACAUUAUGUAUACAUAAUUAUUGAUUUUCAUAUGUGGGUGUCUUGAAAUAUUGCCAAAAGAUCAAACUUUAAUAAACGAUUUUUGAUCUUUUUUUUUCCUUUGUACCUAAAGUUUGAGUGAUAUCCGCAUUUUAAAUUCAUGUGGACCAAAAGCUAAUGUAUGCACAAAAUUCUUUUAUUUUUUCCGAGAAAAAUGGGUAAGAGAAGAAGAUUUUUCUCUUGAAAAAGAAAAACUAAUACGUUGCAAGCAUAGGAAAGAGGCCAGUGUUUUGGAUUUGAAUUUAGUAUUGGGUUGAAUUUUAUGCUAAGCUCUUUUAUAAUACUUUAUAGAAUAAAAAUGUAAGGGGUAUUUGGUUAGGCAUGUACUUUGUAGAAUAAAAAUGUAAUAAUGUAAGUCAGUGCAAUGAUCUGCUGUCAUAAUAGUUGUAAAUAUUUAUGUGUAAUAUAGUAACAUGAUGCUUAAUCAGUUAAAAAAAAAUUGUAUAUCUUUUUUUAUUUUUUUUUAUUGUGAUCAAUAUAACUAGUCAAAUUUAUUUUUAAAUAUUUUUUUAAAAAUAUUUUUAUCGUGUGUUUGCUCCAUUACAGGGUUUCUUCAAUUUAAAAUAGAGAAUCAUUUGUGUUCUAGAUUAAUCGUGGGUCUAUAUCCAAAUCCAAAAAUUGACUAACUUGAUUUCUAUUAAGUUCUCAACCCUAACAAGAAAAAUAGAAGAUUAAAAAUGACUAUUUUGGUUUCUAUUAAUUUGAGUAACGCUUAAUAUUUAUCAUACAAUAGUCACUUAUAUUAUCAAAAUCUUGGGUCGAAAAUAUUAGGAUAGGUGAUAAUUGGAAUUAAGUUGUAGAUAAGAUAGCCUUUCAAAAAAAAGAAAAGAAAAAAAGUUGUAGAUAAGAUAGAAAUGGAUUUGGAGAGAGAUUGGAAUCCUGGCUAAUCCGGUGCACGUUGUUGCGUUAAAUUCUCGUUGACUUCACGUUGACCGAAGCAUUAUUGGAAGAAACAAGCAAGCUUAUUUUCUUCUCUCAUUUUUUACUUUUGUCUAAAUUUAUUGAUGUGAGGCCUCUGAGAUGGUAAAGUGUUAAAUCUGAGAAGAGUACCCACACACCCAUUAUCCUAUUACUCUUAUUUUAUCACAUGCAGAGACGUCAACGUUUGAUUCGCACAGAAAAAAAUUUGCGAGGAUUGUGAGGGUUGAUUCAAUAUAAUUUAGAUGCAAAGUGUUUACAAGUGCGAUGCUUCGUAAGUGCACCCGAAUCAUUAUAAACUCACCUUAUUUUCAUAGUGAUUAUUUCAUCUGCAUGUGAAUAUAAUCAUAUGUGGAGAUUUUUUUUUCCCUAAACUAUGAUCUUCUCUGGUAUUAAGGUGUUAUAUCUUUUAAAUUAUAAUUAUUAUUAGUAAAAAACUGCAACUAUGAAAAAGAAAUUUAAUAUUAUGUCCUGAAUAUAAUUAUUAAAUAAUAAUUUUGACAAAAUUAAUGAAUAUAUACAGAUUUUUUUAUCAUAUAAAUGUAAAAUUAUAUCAACUUAGCUUCUAAGCUAUACAACGGCUACUAUUUACUAAAUACUUUAGUGUCGUAGUUUUUAAGAUAUAUUUAUCCAACCUCAAUCCCAAACAUAACCUGUAAGGAUAAAAAAUUUCAUCCUAAAAAUUAUACGUCUUGUGACUUAUUUAAUUUAUAUUUUUGUUAUUUAUAUUUACUAAUUAUAGUCAUCUUUUAAUAAAUUACAAUUGAAGGAAGGUGGUUGAUGUUGUCGAGACACACACACAAAGAUAUAUUGGAAGUGCUUAUGUCCACUCGAAGUUGUGGGGAGUUAAUGCAUGUAUUGAUUUAUUGGGAGUGUUAAUGCAUGUAUUGAUUGAUUGAGUGAUUGAAUACUGUUUGAUUGCUUCAUAUCAAUUCUAGAAAGUUUAUUUCUUUGUGAAAUUUCAACGAAACGUGUUUUUUUAGAAUAAUAAGGGUGUUUUAAGUAAUUUUAAAAAAUGAAUGGACUAAUUAGAAUUAAUUAUUAGGUAAUUAACUCGAAUUGUAGAGGGUAAGCAAACAUUUAUCCUAAUUAUAUUAUGAUAAAUCCUUUUCCAAUUAGAAUUAGGAAACCAUAGAUAUACUGAAUUUUUUUUAUUUCCCUUCGCGAAAACGGAUUAGAGAAUUAGAAAACAAUCCUAGUGAUACUAUUGUUAGGUUUAAAACACUGCAUAGAUGGUAAAAACAUUGGAAUUGAUGUAGAUUAAUUUGUUAAUUGCUAUCGUACUGAACAUUGUUUUAUGCAAAUUAAUUUGAGAAUUAGAAAAUAUUUUGUUGCAUGCAAACUUUUUGUUUUAUGCAAAUCGUACUGAACAUUGGGACUGAUGUUUAAGAAAAAAAUUCUGUAGUUAAAGAAAAACAAAAAGGCAUGUUGAAUAGAUUACGAUAGUUUAUUCAAUUGGGAAUUUUUUUUUUUAAUUUUGUUGUACUUGAUUGAGAUUUCUCUUUAGUCCUUUCGUACUUCCUUUGUAAGCUGAGUAUAAGGAUGAAAUUCUUUUAAGAAAUUAAAAAAGAAAAAAAAGCAUGCCACUACGCAAUUAUAAAUAACCACAAAUAAAUAUAAACAAAAUGUUUAUGAAGUAAAUUAAACAUGCACAUAUUAUUUUCUUUUAUUUGCUGCUUGGAAACCCAUAAAUGCACUAAUCCAAUAUUACAAUUAAUUUCAGACAGAAAAAAUUGAACUCUAGGCUGCAGUUUGACUCAAAAUGAUGACCACUGGCUUCGCACCAUUCAACCGGUAUACAUUUCUACAAACCGAACAACGCUAUUGAUUUUUAUUAUUUUUUUAAUUUUUUUAUAAAUUACUAUUUUAAUUUUCACUUUUUAUUGGGUUGUUUAACGGAUUAGUGAAGCUGGUGGUCGUUGAUGCACUCAUAAGGUACAAUUUUAUUUUAGAAUUUCAAAUUCGUAUUUUAAAAUGCAGGCACAUUAUGUAUACAUAAUUAUUGAUUUUCAUAUGUGGGUGUUUUGAAAUAUUGCCAAAAGACCAAACUUUAAUAAACUAUUUUUGAUUUUUUUUUCCUUUUUACCUAAAGUUGGAGUGAUAUCCGCAUUUUAAAUUCAUGUGGAACAAAAGCUAAUGUAAGCACAAAAUUCUUUUAUUUUUUCCGAGAAAAAUGGGUAAGAGAAGAAGAUUUUUCUCUUGAAAAAGAAAAAAAAAUACAAUGCAAGCAUAGGAAAGAGGUCAGUGUUUUGGAUUUGAAUUUAGUAUUGAGCUGAAUUUUAUGCUAAGCUCUUUUAUAGUACUGCGAUUAAUAAGCUAGCUCAGGAUUUGCUUUUGCUUUUACUUCAAGUAAAAGAAUGAGGAAGCCUUUUGUUUUUUUGUUUGAUUUUUGACUAUAUAUGUUACCUAUAUAGAGAGUUGAGGUAGCAGCCUUAAGUGAUGGUGAUAAAAAGAUUAAGCAGCGCACACAAUCUUACUGUCGUCGAGACCAUCCAGUGAUGGCUCUUGUUUUUUUGUUACGUUAGCUUUAGUGGAAAGAAGGACCAAUUUAACAAAGACUAGAUUUGGUGGCUUACUAUGUUUAAUGUAAUGCUUAUUCUCAGCGCACACAAUCUUACUAUGUUUAAUGUAAUGGUUAUGUUGAAUGAUCUUCUAUGAUUGUGAGUAGUAUAGUAUAAUUGCAAGGGGCCUGGGCUCCUAUGAUGAAUAACAGUAACACAUUACUGUGAUUGAGAAAACUCAGUUCCAAUAAACUCUUCAUUUACUCAUUGCGGAGAUUGAAUGGCAAACAGAGAAUAGAAUGAAGCAGAAGAAUCUCAUUGUUAGGUUUUGAUGAUUUCAGAUGCUUUUUAAAAAAAAACAAUUGUGACAUCUUUGAUUUAAGGUAGUUUUGCAAAAAACAAAACAUAUAAAAAUUAAGAGGGAUGAUUUAACUGACGAUUACAAUCAUUACAGCAAUGCUGAUGAGUGAUAAAUCACUUGAAAUUUACUUGUCAGUUGCUGAAAUGAUGAAAAAAAACAAUAAACGAUAACAGUAAUAAUGUUCCCUUGCUGAAAUUCAAUUUUGACUUUCGACUCUUGGCUUUUAUGGAGAGUAAAAUGACUUGUAUAUUAUACUCAUACAAUCCACUCUACAUAAUGAUAUCGUUUUAGUAAGGCAAUGGCUGAUGAUCUCCAUUUAAAAACUACAUCAAUUUUUUUUUGCUUCAUUUAACUUUUUGGUUGUUGAAAAUAACCUUAAUUACCAAAUAAUUGGAGAAAGAGUUAAGAACAUUUAACAAAUUUAUGUGCAAAAAAAAAAGAAGGAGAAGUUGAAGAGAAAGGGUGCUUGCAGAAGUGGGUGUCAAAGAUAAAUCGGUCCAUAAGAAUUAUUGUGGUUAUUUUUUGGCAAUAUAAAAAAUUUUUAGUAAGUAAAAAUAAUUUUUUUUUCGAUUUACUAAAAAAUUAACUAAAAACUUCUGCGAUAGCAUUUUUUAUGGGUGCAGAUACCCUCCCUUUAAAAAAAAUAUAAUAAUUACUGCUUAAUAUAGUAUUAAAUACGAAAAUAUCAAUAUUUGACUACUCAAAUUUAUGUCAUUAGGUCCUUCAAAUUUAAAAUGGAAGAUAUGAAAGGAAAUAUAUAUAAAUUUCAUUGUCCUGGGAAAGGACCCUCUUAUAAUCUUAUAAUAUUUGAACUUUGAUAGAUUUUUUGAAACAAAUUUAGAUAGAUUUUUUGAAACAAAUUUACUUUUAUUUGUGUACAAUCAAUAUUUACUUAUUUAUUAUAUUUUAAUUUAUUAACUAUCAAUCAUGUUAAUAUAUUUAGUCAGAAAAAUCAUAUCAAGAGAAAAUCAUGACCCCACGCACGGAUAAAUACGUUAAUUUCUAUACUAUUCACUUUCCUGUAGAAUCAAUUAUUUAAAAUGCAAGUUUGUGGCUACAGAAAACUCGCCAAAGAAAGAAGAUAAUAACAAUUGAGCAUUGAUAGCAAAACUAAUGCAUCCAAUUCUUCUUGACUUGAUGAGAUGGCGCCAUAACGUAGAAACAAGUACCUAAAUUGACCGGCACUGAGUGGUGUGAAUACUACCAGCCAGUUCAUCUCUUCCAGUCGUGCUUAAUCACAAUCACAAACACCACGAGAUCGACAUUUGCAUUAUAUAUAUCUUCAGCAAUCGAAACACCUUGCAUUACCAAAUUAACCAGCAACAAACAAAGCAAUCUUUCAUGGAGAGAAACCUUAGUCUCAGUAUGAUCACUGUGUCAUUAACCCACUGCCUGCUUCUUUGCUUGGUUGUUGCAGCAGCAGCAGCAGCAAGCAGCAAUAUUACCACAGACCAACAAGCUCUUCUUGCCCUGAAAGAUCAUAUAAUUUAUGAUCCGACCAACCUUUUAGCCCAUAAUUGGACCUCGAACACCUCUCUUUGUACCUGGAUUGGCAUCACUUGUGAUGCCAAUAGCCAUAGAGUCACAACCUUAGAUAUUUCUCAAUUCAAUCUACAAGGCACCAUCCCUCCUCAACUUGGAAACCUCUCUUCACUCACAACGCUUAAUCUUAGUCAUAAUAAGCUUUCUGGAAGCGUUCCCCCCUCCAUCUACACCAUGCAUACGCUAAAAUUUCUAGACUCCACUGCUAACCAGCUCUCUGGUUCAGUGUCUUCCUUCGUCUUCAACAUGUCUUCAAUAUUAGACAUUCGUUUGACCAAUAACAGACUUUCUGGUGAGCUUCCGAAAAAUAUUUGCAACUAUCUUCCUCAUUUGAAAGCCCUUUUUUUGGACAAAAACAUGUUUCAUGGCAAAAUUCCUUCUGCUUUAUCAAAGUGCAAACAACUGCAACAAUUAAAUUUGCAGUUCAAUAAUUUAUCCGGUGCAAUACCAAAAGAAAUCGGCAACUUGACUAUGCUCAAAGGGAUAUAUCUCCUCUACAACAAACUCCACGGUAUGUUCACAAUACUAUAUAAAUAUUUUAAUUUAUCACUUAUUAUCUUUCUUGAAUAAUUUAACUAAGAUCUUGUAAGUGAGAUUUUUUGCAUCUAUGUUAAUAACCAGGUGAGAUACCCCACGAAAUCGCUAAUCUUCAAAAUCUAGAGGCUUUAGGGCUUGGAAUGAACAACCUAGUUGGUGUGUUACCAGCUCCCAUCUUCAACAUGUCAACACUGAAGGUACUUAUCCUCAUAAAUAACUCUCUCUCCGGAAGUCUUCCAUCAAGAAUGGACCUUUCACUUCCAACUGUUGACCAUCUUAACUUGGCACUUAAUAGAUUUUCUGGAACCAUUCCUAGUUCCAUCACCAAUGCUUCUAAGCUCACCUUUCUGGAGUUGGGAGGAAACACAUUUUCGGGGUUUAUUCCAAACACAAUUGGUAAUUGUUGUUUGUGAAAGCAAAUCCAGAAAACCAAAACGGCAGAAGACUUUGCGUUUAGAAGCUGGAAACACUUAAACUCAAAACGGCACAGGAGCCUGCGUUUUGGUGAGUAAAAGAAAUGCACUCCUGGACGACGUAUGGGUUUGACGUUUAGAUUUAAGUGAUUCACGCGUAUAUCACGUGCUUGAGUUCAGCCUUGCAAAGUUCGUUAUAUGUCGUUAGGAGCACGAAGAGCUCACGUGAGGUGCUGGGGUUUUUCUGGGUUUAUUAGCUAAAGCUGUUAUGGAACAGCUGAUGUGGAAGCAACGGACUGGAGAGCAGAGAGAGCUAAAGAUAGAGAAGGGAACUGGUUAUAUAAGCUAGUUAUAAUCUGUCUUUUAGGGACUAAGCAUUUACUCUGUAAUUCAUCUGAAAGAAAUCAAUAAAGCUGUGUUCUUUCCCUCCCGUGGAUGUAAGCUAGAGAAGUCUAGCUGAACCACGUUAAGAUUCUUUGUUCUUUCUUUACAUUACUUUCUUUUGAUUCUUUAGACCAAUUUUGUUUACCAUUUAAGUUCCAUAGAUUUCAUCUUAGUCAUAGCUUUUCGGUAAGCCAUCUUGCUGCAUCUUGUUCUGUUGGCUGGAGAUCUUGGGGCAGAGUCUUGGGUUGCUCUAUCAGUCUUUAGCACCUGAGAUUCUACAGUAAUUUAAUAAACCUUGAGUGGCUCAACUUGGGUAAUAACUCCUUGACAUCUUCAACCUCAAAAUUGAGCUUUCUUUCCUCUUUGGCAAAUUGCAAGAAAUUAAGAGUCAUAGGCUUAACAGGCAAUCCACUCAAUGGUAUCCUUCCAAGUUCAGUAGGUAAUCUUUCUAUGUCUUUGAAAACACUUGUCAUCGGCAAUUGCAGUAUUAUUGGCAACAUUCCUCGAGUAAUUGGCAAUUUAAGCAACUUGUUGGCCUUAUCAUUAGAAGGCAAUAAAUUGACUGGAUCAAUUCUAAUUACAUUCGCCCGACUACAGAAACUCCAAGGCUUAGAUCUCGCAUUCAAUAAGUUGGUAGGUUCAUUCCCAGAUGAGCUUUGCCAUCUAGCUAGGCUGGCAGAAUUGGUCUUAUUUGGCAAUAAGCCAAAUAAGCUUUCAGGAUCUAUACCUUCAUGCCUAAGUAAUUUCACUUCUAUAAGAUCUCUCUAUUUAGGGUCCAAUAGGUUUACUUCUGUCAUUCCCUCAACUUUCUGGAGCCUAAAAGACAUCUUGUUCUUUGACUUUUCAUCAAAUUUCUUGGUUGGUACUCUUUCUUUCGACAUAGGUAAUUUGAAGGUGCUUCGAGGAAUAAAUUUAUCAGAAAAUAACUUAUCGGGUGAUAUGCCAGCCACAAUUUGAGGACUAAAAAACCUUCAAAUUAUGGACCUAGCAUAUAAUAGAUUGGAAGGGCAAAUUCCUGAAUCAUUUGGUGACUUGACAAGUUUGGAGCUUUUGAAUUUGUCAAAUAAUAAAAUCUCUGGGUCUAUUCCAAAAUCCAUGGAGAAACUCUUUUACCUCCAAGAGUUAAAUCUCUCUUUCUAUGAACUAGAAGGUGAGAUUCCUAGUGGAGGAAUUUUUGCCAACUUCACAGCUGAGUCAUUUAUGGGAAAUGAGUUAUUGUGUGUUUUGCCAUUGAGUAUUGCUCUAACAAUAGCAAUCACUCUAGCUCUCAAAUAUAAGCUUAUUGAAUGUAGAAAGGGAAGAACAGUGUUGUCAAAUGAUAGUAUCUUGUCAUCACAAGCAACACUAAGAAGAUUUUCAUACUUAGAACUUUUACGAGCAACAAAUAAUUUUUCUGAAAACAACAUAAUUGGCAUAGGAGGUUUUGGUUCUGUUUACGGUGGAAGACUUGAAGAUGGGAUGAAGAUUGCAAUAAAAGUGUUUCACCAGCAAUGUGCAAGCGCAUUGAAGAGUUUUGAGGCUGAAUGUGAAGUGUUAAAAAAUAUUCGCCAUCGAAACCUUAUCAAAGUUAUCAGCAGUUAUUCAAACAAUGACUUCAAAGCAUUAGUCCAAGAAUACAUGUCCAACUGGAGCUUGGGGGAUUGGAUGCAUUCUAGCAAUUAUAUGCUGAAUAUAUUUCAAAGGUUGAACAUAAUGAUUGACGUUGCAUCAGCUUUAGAAUAUCUUCACUUCUAUCAUUCAACUGCUAUUAUUCACUGUGACUUAAAGCCUAGUAAUGUAUUGUUGGACGAAAAUAUGGUUGCUCAUUUAAGUGAUUUUGGCAUAGCAAAGCUUUUAAGUGGAGAAGAUGAGUCUAUGAUGCGAACAAAAACCCUUGCCACUAUAGGUUAUAUGGCACCAGGUUUGCUUCAAACAACUUUUUUUUUAGUUCAUUUUAAAUUUUCCAAAUCAUCGAUUUUUACGAUCCUCAUAUCAAAAUGUUAUUGAUUAUUUAUCUAAUUGUGAAAUUAAUUUGAUUCAUAGAGUACGGCAUAAAAGGAGAAGUAUCUACAAAAAGUGAUGUUUACAGCUAUGGGAUUAUGUUGAUGGAAACUUUUACCAAGAAAAAACCCACAGAUGAAAUUUUUGUCGGAGAAUUGAGCUUAAGGCGUUGGGUUAAUGACUUGCUUUCUGCUUCAUUAGUGGAAGUUGUGGACAAAACUCUGCUAAGUGGAGAGGAAAAAUAUUUUGCAUCAAAGGAGCAAUGUCUGUUGUCUAUCUUUAGUUUGGCUCUGGAGUGUACAAUGGAAUCACCGGAAAAGAGGAUUAAUGCAAAAGAUAUUGUUACCAGAUUACUCAAGAUAAGAGACACAUUGAGUAAAAGGAUCGGAAAUUUAAGUUAAUUUCGUUUGCUUUCGUUGAUAGUUAAUUCAAAUUCAUGUAAUAAGUGUAAGAAUCUUAUAUCUUUUCCUUUGAUAUUUUUUUUUUUGAGAAAACUGUUGUAGUCAUCUUAUUUCCAUGGGUAGAGUUGAUUUAGUUCUUCCAAGAAUUAAUUGAGCUUGUUUCACAAGUAUAUGAAUCAGACAGUUAAAUUUUAAAAAUUAUAUUCGGACUCUACGUUUUGUAAUGAACAUUGGUCUGACUUGUUAUACAUUUAUGCGGACAUUCAAGAGCAAAUAUUUUGAUUUACUAUUUUUUGUCUUUCAAUUUUCUUUUAGGUUCUGAUGACGUGCGCAUUUUAAAAUCCUAAGGUACAUAUAAAAUUCUUUUAUUUUUCGGAGGAAAAUGGGUGAGAGAAGAAGAUUUGGCAAAGGAAUUGCAACGGCAUUUGAAACUAGUCUUUGUCGUUUAAUUCUUUUAUAUUCGUUUUUUUUAUUGAUGUUAGCUUGGAUGUGGGCGCGUGUGACUGAAUUCAACUUAUAUUUGUUUUUGUUAUUAAUUUUAUUUGUUUUUGUUAAAUUGGACCACCAAAAAGGGUGGUCCAUUAUCAAAUCAACACCGUUUAAUUAUUAUUAUUUCUACACUUUUUUUUAUGAACAAAUAUAAAAUAAAAGGACAUUUACACCCAAAUUUUAGUGAAAUAGUCAUCAACACCCUUAAAUUUUUAAAAAGAGACAUCAAGAUCAUUUUUUGAUCUUAAUACUCUUAUACAGUACCUCUAUUAUUCCUAAAAAUUGACUCUAAUGUUUUAUAAUAAAUAAAAAUAAAAGAUUAAAAUAAAUGUAAUAACAUAUACAUUUUAAAACCAUUUCAAUAUUUAAAAAAUAUUUUUAACAUUUUACAAUCUAUUAAAUAUAUUUUAUUAUAUUAAAGUAAAUUUUAUAAUAAAUAGAAUCAUAUUAUUAAAAUAAAUGCAUUAAAAUUUAAAUUAUUUUGAAUAUCAUGUAAGAUAAUAAUUUUAACAUUACUAGUAUGUCAGAUUUUUUUUUUAAUUGUAGAGUGUAUUUAGUGCAAAUAUUUAUUUCAAAUAUCUACAAUAAAUAAAAGAUUAAAGUAAAUAUAAUAAUUUACAUAUCUAAAUUUAUUAAAAUAUUUUAAUAUUGUUAGUCUACUGCAUAGAUCACAAUAUUCAUAUAACAUUUGUAUUUAUUAAAAACUUUAAAAUCAAUUCUUUUGAGAAUAAUAGAGGUAAAGGGUAUAAUGGUCAAAAGGGAAAUUUUGUAUCCCUUUCUGAAAACUUGAGGAUGUUGGUGACUAUUUCUCCAAAUCUUCAGCGUGUAGAUGUCCUUUUCUCCGACAGUAUCUGAACUUUGAAGUAAUAAGGAUCACCUUUUACGAAAUUAUAUUGCUUUUCAUGAUAGACUGUUACCAUUUUUCUACAAUAGAUUGAAUUUAGUAAAAAAUUGAUUAAGAUGUCUACUCAUGGAGAGUGAAAUUUAUGUUCAAAACUAAUUUCAACAGGCAUGCACCAUCGAACGUGUUUCUCACGGAAAAGUUGCUUGGAUUUUUGGGACUUCCUGUUCAAAUAUUCAACACGGCAUGCACCACGCGAUUGAACAUGCAAAAGUAGGGGUCUAUUUUCAUUUCCAGCAUUAUAGAAAUCUUAAUUUUGUUCAUUAUUUAUUUUGAUCAGCACUGUUGAAUCUCCAUGCAUUGCCAAUCACUAGGAAACAACAUAUUUUUAUUAAUUAUAUCCUCUAAUGGAGAGAACUCAUUGUCUCAGUAAGAUCACUGUGUCAUUAACCCACAGCCUGCUGAUUUGCUUGGUUGCUACUGCAAGCAAAAAUAUUACCACAGAUCAAAAAGCUCUUCUUGCCCCAAAAGAUCACAUAACUUAUGCUCCAACUAAUCUAUUGACCCAGAAUUGGACCUCAAAUACCUCUGUUUGUACGGGGAUUAGCAUCACUUGUGAUGUCAAUGGCCAUGAAGUUGCAGCCUUGGAUAUUUCUCAAUUCAAUCUACAAGGCACCAUUAUUCCAAACACAACUGGUAAUUUAAGAAACCUUAAGUGGCUCGGCUUGGCUUAUAAACUACUUGACAUCUUAAACUUCAAAAUUGAGCUUUCUUUCCUCUUUGGCAAAUUGCAAAAAAUUAAGAAUCUUAGGCUUACUGGAAAUCCACUUGACCGUAUCCUCUCAGGUUCAAUAGGUAAUCUUUCUAUGUCUUAGGAAAUAUUUCACAUCGCCAAUUGCAGCAUUAGUGGCAGAAUUCCUUAAGUAAUCAGCAAUUUAAGCAACUUGUUGGCUAGUGUGCAAAAUUUUAAUGUACUCGCAAGCGCAUGAACCUAAAAAUAGAAUAGUGGUAACGAGGUCAAACUCACAGGGAUUGUUAUAAAAUGACAAAAGAAUAGCUGCUGGUCUAGAGGUGGCUUAUUACAUUCAUACAAGAUCGUUUCUUGUUCUCUAAGAUGUGCAUUAUGCUAAUAAUGCUAUACAAACUUAUCCAAAGGUCUAUUGAUUAAUUCAUUAAUCCAACUGCUGGUUAGGUUGUCCUUUCAUCCAAACAGCUGCAUGCUUGUCUUCUUAUAUGCUGAUCUUAUCCUCUAGAUCUGUUCAGGCUGAGUGAUCUCUCACAUUUGCCAUAUCAGAAGAUUACAUGCCAGUAAUGUCUUGUGAUGAUCUGUUGCUUGGUGAUGUCGAAUGCCUGGCCUUUACUUCUCUGAGCAAAUUGAUCAAACAAUUUGUUCAUUUUAUCGAUGGUUUUUAAGUGCAUUUAAUGAUUAUUUUUGCUCCAACUUCAGAUAAACCAAACGCUAGUAUAUUAGAUGAAGAAGUUAACUGGCAGCUAACCAGGUCAAAAUAGCGACUCUAUAUAAAAAAUAUAUAUAUAUAAUAUAAAAUAUAAAAUGGGAAUUUAUUUAAUUAAUUGUUGGUCUAAAGCUGUUGGUAUCCGUUGGCCACGUUUCUGAAGAGUCAUCUCAAAUCGAAAUUUUUAACGAACAAAGAACUUUGCUUUUUUCCAUUGUUCACAUAUCUGCUGGCUGCCACCCGUGAGAUAAAAGUGCUACAAUCCAAAAUGUUCCACCAUUAUUUAUUCUAAUUUUAAUUUUCCAAUGGAAAAAAUUACAUAAUUAAAAUGGCUUCUAAUAUCAUUUCCACCCCUCAAUAUGUGUCACUAUCAGAAGGUUGUUUUCAUGAUUCAUGGUAAAUUUGGAUUACAGCACCUGUACUUUCUGAUGGUUCAUUAUUUAUUCUCAGGAAUCGAGUCUCCUUACAUUACCAAACUAAUAACAAACAGCAAUAUUUUAUCCUUUCAUGGAGAGAAAUUACAGUCUUCGUUUGACCGCAGUGCUAUUAACCCACUGCUUGCUUCUUCAGUUGGUUGUUGCAGCAGCAGCAGCAAGCAACAUUACAACAGACCAACAAGCUCUUCUUGCCCUGGAAGCUUAUAUAAGUUAUCAUCCAACUAAUUUUUUGGCUCAAAAUUGGACCUCAAAUACCUCUGUUUGUAACUGGGUAGGCAUUACUUGUGAUGUCAAUAGCCAUAGAGUUACGGCCUUGAAUAUUUCCAGCUUGAAUCUACAGGGUACCAUCCCCCCUCAACUUGGAAACCGAUCUUCACUGACAACACUUAAUCUUAGUCAAAACAAGCUUUAAGGCGACAUUCCCCCCCUUCAUCUUCACCGUGCAUGAGCUGAAAUUUCUUGAUUUCAGUGAUAAUCAGCUCUCUGGUUCUUUGUCUUCCUUUACCUUCAAUUUGUCUUCAAUAUUAGAUAUUCGUUUGGAUAGUAACAAACUCUCUGGUGAACUCCCAUUAAAUAUUUGCAAUUAUCUUCACUAUUUAAAAGUCCUUUUUUUGGCCGAAAACAUGUUUCACGGUCAAAUACCACUGGCUUUAUCCAAGUUCAAACAGCUACAACUGUUAAAUUUGGGGUUCAAUAAAUUAUCAGGAGCCAUACCGAAAGAAAUCAGCAACUUGACUAUACUUCGAAAGAUAUCUCUCAGAAAUAAUAAACUUCGCGGUAUAAAUGUUUAUAAUAUAUACUUUGUAAAUGCUCUUAUUAAUCAUUCUUGAACUUUCUUAGAUACUUUUGUCUAAAUAAGAUUUUGUAAAAGAGUUUUUUGCAUCUCUGUUAAUUUUGCAGGCGAGAUACCUCACGAAAUUGGGUAUCUUCCAAAUCUAGAGAAUUUGGUGCUUGGAUUCAACAACCUAGUAGGUGUUGUACCUGCUGCAAUCUUCAACAUGUCAACAGUGAAAGAAAUUUACCUAUUAGAUAACUCUCUCUUGGGAAGUUUUUCAUUAGGAAUAGACCUUUCACUUCCUAACGUUGAGAGACUGAACCUGGGGCUGAACAGAUUUUCUGGAACCAUUCCUAGUUUCAUCACCAACGCAUCUAAACUUGUAUAUCUAGAUAUGGGAACAAACUCUUUUUCGGGCAUUAUUCCGAACACAAUUGGUAAUAAUCUAAGAAACCUUGAGUGGCUCGACUUAACAUACAAUCGCUUGACAUCAUUAACUCUAGAAUUGAGCUUUCUUUCCUCUUUGACAAAUUGCAAGAAAUUAAGAUUCUUAGGCUUAACAGGCAAUCCACUUGACGGUGUCCUUCCAACUUCAAUAGGUAAUCUUUCUAUGUCUUUGGAAAACAUUUACAUCUCAAAUUGUAGUAUUGGUGGCAGCAUUCCUCAACUAAUCACCAAUUUAAGCAAUUUGUUGCUCUUAGAUUUAGAAGGCAAUAAGUUGACUGGAUCAAUUCCAGUCACAUUCGGCCGGUUGCAGAAACUCUAGGGUUUAUAUCUUCCAUUUAACAAGUUAGCAGGAUCAAUCCCAGACCAGCUUUGCCAUUUAGCUAGACUGAAUACAUUAGGUUUGGCUGGUAAUAAGUUUUCUGGAUCAAUCCCUUCAUGUUUAGGUAAUCUCACUUCUCUAAGGUCUCCCGACUUAGGGUCCAAUAGGCUUACAUCAGUCUUGCCCUCAACUUUUUGGAAUCUAAAAGACAUCUUGUUCUUUGACCUUUCAUCAAAUUCUUUGGAUGGUCCUCUUUCUUUAGACAUAGGAAAUUUAAGGGUUGUGAUAUCAAUAAAUUUAUCACGAAAUAACUUUUCAGGUGAUAUCCCAAGUACAAUUGGAGAUCUAAAAGACUUACAGAAUAUCUCCUUAGCAUGUAAUGGAUUGGAAGGUCUAAUUCCUGAAUCAUUUGGUUACUUGACAGGUUUGGAAAUUUUAGAUUUGUGAAAUAACAAAAUCUUUGGGUUUAUUCCGAUAUCUUUUGAAAAACUCUUGUACCUCAAAGAGCUAAAUUUGUCUUUCAACGAACUAGAAGGAGAGAUUCCUAGGGGAGGACCUUUUGCAAAUUUCACAGCUAAGUCAUUCAUGGGAAAUGAGAAAUUGUGUGGUUUACCAAAUCUCCAAUUCCCAAAAUGCAAGCGUCGGACACGUCGAAAAUCAAAGAAAAAGAUGCUUCUACUUGUGAUUGUCUUGCCAUUGAGUACUACUCUAAUAAUCGUAGUCCCUCUAGCUCUAAAAUAUAAAUCGAUAAGAGGUGGAAAGAGUAGUACUAGGUUGUUAAAUGAUGGUAUCUUGUCAUCACAAGAAACACUAAGAAGAUUUUCAUACCAAGAUCUUUUUCGUGCAACAGAAAAAUUUAGUAAAGACAAUCUAAUUGGCGUAGGAAGUUUUGGUUCUAUUUAUCGAGGAAGACUUCAUGAUGGAAUUGAGGUUGCAAUAAAAGUGUUUCACCAGAAUUGUGCAAUGGCAUUGAAGAGUUUUGAGGCUGAAUGUGAAGUGAUGAAAAAUAUGUUGGGAAAAUAUGCUCUUUAAAAGCAUAUGUGUUUAUUUAAUUGUAAUAAACAUUUUUUCUGAUUAAUAAAAGUAAUGAGGUAUUUUAUCCAAAUAUCUUAAUUGCAUUAAUAUUUUUAUUAAAGUCCAUUUAAUCAUAUUAUAUGUAUUUAUGUGAUCACCAUGUGGAUUCACAGAAGACAUAAAUACAAGUUAUCUUAUGAUUAAAUAAAUUUAGUUCGCAGUUGAUAAAUAAAGUUGGGCACUUUAUUUAGGUAUAGACUGUAAUGAAUUCAUUGAAUGAUUUGUCUUAAUCAUGUAUGAAUUUAUUGAUGUAGUACGACUACAUUGAACAGGAUCACAUAUGAGAUUUAAUUAACUUUGUAAUAACUGUCAGACUUAUUAAAUCUCAUAGGCAUUGAUUUUACUGUAAUCUUAAUCUUGAGUUAAUUAUGAUUUCAUGAUUGUAAUUGUUAUUCCAUUUGAGUUACCAAUAGGCAUGACACAUACUUGUAGUCUAGAUAACCUGGUAUCUUGGUGGGAGCAUUUAUGAGUAUUAGAGUUAUAGAUUAACAAUAUAGAAUUUGUAUAACACAUCUCUUGAUGGGUUUUCGGCACUUGAUCAUAGAAUUCUCUGGCCAGAGUGUGUCAACAUAUUUAGUAUGUUGAAAAUGAUCAUUAGAGAAAACCAGUAAGUAUCAAGAAACAAGAUGUAAUUAAAUUGAUUGGACAGUUGAGAUAUCGAUUUAAUUAAUGAAGUGGUACAAAGGAUUGUGCAGUAAAGAAAUCAAUAUGGCUUGGGACGAAUUAUUAUUCGAGCAUACAAUUCUGGAAGUCAGUUCCAAUCUUUUAGUGGAGUAGAUUUGGAAUUAAAUAAUUGGGCUAGUUUAAUUACAAGCCUAAUUAUUGUAGCCACUAUUGUAUGUUCCCAAAUGAUCCCCGGGUUAGCUCAUUUAAUUGACUGCACCACUACUGGACUAAUAAGUAAGAUAACUAGCUAUUUGGGUCAAAAAGCCUAAAUAUAUCAUUUAGCGGGAGGCUCCAUUUAAUUAGCUUUUGUAUAAGGGGCCUUAUGUUAUUUUACAAGGUGGGUCCCCUAUAGAAAAAACAAAUAACGUGAGUUUUGUUUUUUGAUUAUUUGGAGCCUAGGGUUUUCACUAAAGGGUGAUAUAAAAGGCUUAUUUUCUCUAAAGAAAAAAAAGCAGCCACUUUAUACAGAUCAGGAGAAUAAGAUUUUUCUCUCUAUUGUUGAGAGAAAAAUUUUCUCGUGCUAGUUGCUUUGGUAGUGAUAAAGGCGCCCACACGUCAAGUGCAGAUUGAACUUGAGUCAUAACCUGGAAGAUCAUUGAUGACAGUUCGUGAUCUAACAAGCGUGGUGGUGACGGAUCGUGAUCUAACAUGAGUGGUGGUGGCGGAUCGUGAUCUAGGAGUCUAAAUCACUUCAACGGAAAAAGCCAAAUCGGAUUUUCAAGGUACGAUUUCUAGAUUACAAAUUCUUAUAUAUUAUAUGAGAGCGAUCUUCAAAAGGUUUUAUAAAAAAUUUAAAAACCUAAUUUUUCCCCAACAAAAUAUUCGUCAUCGAAAUCUUGUCAAAAGAAUCAGUUGUUGUUCGAACGAAGAUUUCAAAGCAUUAGUUUUAUAAUAUAUGCCCAAUAGAAGCUUGGAGGAUUGCCUGCAUUCUACCAAUUGUUCGUUAAAUAUUUUUGACAAGUUGAACAUAAUGAUAGAUGUUGCAUCGACUUUGGAAUAUCUCCACUUCAAUCAUUCAACUCCUGUCAUUCAUUGUGACUUAAAGCCCAAAAAUGUAUUGUUAGAUAAAAACAUGGUUGCUCAUUUCAGUGAUUUUGGAAUUGGAAGGCUCUUAACUGGAGAUCGAUCAAUGAUACAAACAGAAACACUUGUCACAAUUGGUUAUAUGGCACCAGGUUUGCUCUGAAAUAAUUUUUGUUUUUUGGGUUUUCAUUCAGACUUUCCAAAUUAUUAUUUUUCCAUGAUCCUUCUAUCCUAAUGUUAUUGAUUAUUUAUCUAAUGAUAAAAUCAAUUUGGUUGAUAGAAUAUGGCAUAGAAGGAUGAGUAUCUACAAGAAGUGAUGUUUAUAGUUAUGGAAUUAUGUUAAUAGAAACAUUUACUAGGAAGAAACCCACAGAUGAAAUGUUUACUACAGAAUUGGGCUUAAAACUUUGGGUUAACAACUUACUACCUACUUCAUUGAUGGAAGUUGUGGACAAAACUCUUUUAAGUAGGGAAGAAGAAGAUUUUGCUGCGAUGGAGCAACGUGUGUUAUCAAUCUUGAGUUUAGCCAUGGAGUACGUGAUGGAAAUGCCAGAAAAAAGGAUCGAUCCAAUAGAUAUUGUAACUAAACUAUUGAAAAUAAGAGACACAUUGAGUAAAAGGUUAGCAAAUUUAGGUUAACCUUAUUUCUUGGCAUUGAUACUUGAAUCAAUAUGUACUUAAUUUGAAUCAAUGUAUGAGUGUAAGAAUAUGAUAUAUUUUCUUUUAAUUUUUUUUCCUGAGAGAAAUGUCAUAGCUGCCUUGUUUCAAAUUAAUUUUAUACUUUUUUUUUCUUUUUCUAAGAUCAUGCCAAUGAGUUGUAGGAAGAUCAGCUACAAAUUCAAAGCCGGCUAAGGCAUUUGAAGAUGGAGAGAUUGUUAGUUUUUUUCCCAUUAAAAUUAACAUAUAUCACUUAUCCCAACUAUUUUCAUAAUACCUAAUAAGCUCUUGGCACCAUAACUUUACCAUAUAACCCUUAUUUUGAAAUACACUUUUAUUCAUAUUAAUAUUAAUUAAAUAAAUCAUAUGAGUUGAAAUUAAAAUUAAAAAAAUUAAAUACCAAAAAUAAGAAAUAUACGUUUUAGUGUGCUAAAAAAAUUAAUAUUAAAAUAUUUUUCCUGUACUUUUUAUUAUUUUGUGAAUAUUUUUCUUAUAAUAUAUAUAUAUAUAUAUAUUAUUCUCAAAAUAAUGUAUCAAGCAAAUGACUUUUUUCUCUUCUUUUUCUUUAACUUUUUUUGUGCUAGUAGAGUUUUUAGAUAUUAUAAAAACAAUAAAAGAAUAAGUGAUAUAUAUUAAUUUCAGUUGGAAAUAACCGACAAUCCCCCUUUAAUUACGUGUCACACCCAACUUUUUUGCCAAUGUUGACAUUUGCCUAUAUCAGGUUUUUGAUGUGUACAGUGCAGGUUCAACUUAAGCCAUAAAUAAAACAACUUGAGAGAGCAAAAGAAUUGCAAGUUCUUGAUUUCAAAUCUCCAAGCAUAGGAAGCCAAAGCAUCUGCUUCUUUUGGGCAUGCUGCAAAUGAUGGUUCUAGUUCGAAUGUGACCUUUCAGUCAUCUCAAGGGCUAUUCAUUGGGGACAUCGACGUAACUUUACCCCACCUAGAGGUUUGAUAAUUGAUGGGUGUCGAAGCCAACAAAAAUAAAUUCUUAUUCUAAAUAAAUUGUGUAUAGUGAUUGAGCAGGGUUGUGUCCACAGAGAUCGGUAAUUAAUUAAAUCCUUUUGAAACAUAAAACGUAAAAUGGGGGAAUUGUUGACAAUAAUAAAAAUCAAAUUAAAAUAACAAGAAUGCAAAUUAAAGUUGUAACUCAAAUUGGAGAAAGCUCUGGUUGAAGGAAUUAACUCAGCUUGAUUCGACUACUGAUCAUUGAUUCAAAUAUAGAUUAUUAUUACUCAUGAAUAGACCGGUUAUAGCUACUGAGACCCUCUAAUAGCCAAUCUCUCCUUAACUAGUCGAUAACCAAGGUACGACCGUUGGUUAUUUCCCUAAUCAAUAGACAACCCUAGAUACGAUCAUAGGAUUUAAUCAAUUGACAGCCUGAAAAACCAGAGAGACCUAAAUCCUAAUCAACACAUAUGAUGAUUCAUUUAAAUUAGAUUAUUUAUUCUCACAACACAACUCUCUGCUAUGUUAUUUGUCACAAGCAUUAAAUUCUUCAUACGAUGAAUCCUUUAAUUGACAAUAGAUUAAGUUGAUAAUUAAAUAGUGGCCAAUUACCUAAUUAAUAAACAUAAUCAUGAAACUAAUUCAGAGAAUAAACAAAUACCCAAAAAGCAAUAAAACAAUUAAAGCACAAGAAAGAUCUCACAGUAGUGAUGAAUCAAAGCUUCAUUAUCCUUCAACCAGAAAAAUAGGUUUAGUUCUUCAUAGAGAGAAGAGAAAAAUUAAGAUCUAGGGUUUCUUUCUUUCUCCAAUCCCCAAAAUCCCCCCUUUUCACAAUAGAUUCCUCCCUUAAAUACUCUCUCUCUCUUCUCUUUUAGAAUUCUAUUUAAAAUAAAAUCCUAAUAUCUAAAAUAUUAAAUUCGUAAUUACAAAAAUAGCCAAAAAUAUAAAACACGUUAAACUAAAAACUGCAGGUUCGCAGUUGACAGCACGCGCCCACGCCUUAUCAACAAAGUUCUUCUGCCGCUCAUAAUUUCUCCAAGGGAACAAUCAUCCCUAAACAUCAUCUUGUAGCUCAAUUUUAUCACCAAUCAAUAGAAUUGCACCUACAAAAGUAAAUCACAAGUAAAUCACUAUUAUUAAGUGCAAAACAUCGAUAUUAAAGGAAGUAAACAAUGCAAAACUAGUGUAUAAAUUGCACUCUAACAAAUUCCCCCACACCAAGAUGAUGCUUGUCCUCAAGCAUAUAACUCAAGAUUAAUCCCAAAUCUCCACUCAAUUCUCAUCUCAACUCAUCCAAAAACAAUUUUAAGCAAGCAUACCUCAAGAAAUUAAGUCGAUCAACAUUUGAGAGAUAAGGAUUUUAAAGCAUAGAAUUUCAUAAGAUAGAAUAAGAACAUUCAACCACCAAGAAGAUCCAUUCAAAAUUCAAGUGCAGCAAGAUUUAAUAGCCCUCUCAAUAACUUCACUCCAUGCACUCAAAGUGUUUAGGGUGUCAUUUAUCCACUCAAAUCAAAUCAAAGAAUGUCAUUACCAUAAGCUUGCUCAUAUAUCACAUCUCAAUCCACAAAACAUGAAUAAAAUGCAAAAAUCUAAGGGUCUUAAAAGGGUUGUAAUGGGGUAAAAUGGGUGAAAUGAAAAAGAAAGGUUUAUGAAAGAAAAAGAGAUCAAAAUGAGAAGAAUGAACUCAUUGAAUGAACUUAUGAUAUCAAAAUGCUUAUUUCUACUCAAGUCACCAAGAAUGUAAACAUUUUUUUUUUCGAUUUUUUUUCUUCGAUUUUCUUUUUCUUUUUUUUCUUUUUCCUUUUCUUUUUCUUUCUUUUUUCAUUUUUUUCAUUUUUUUUUUGUUUUUUUUUUCGAAUCAAACAAAAGAAACGAACCUUGCACAAUUUAAUUCAAGCAUAAUGCUUGUUGAUCUAAUUGAGAAACUUCAAUAUAAGGUAGAAAAAGCAACAAAAUAUAUCCAUAUAAUGAGUCCAAAAAUCUCCUUAAAUUGAGGCUCAAAAAAAGAAGAAAAAUGGUUAAGUAGACGGAGAGAAUUAGAUGGGUAAUGGUUAAGGCUCAAACAAAGGUAGCAAAUAAAGGUCUUCGGGUAGAGAAAAAGGAAAAUGCGAGAAUAGAAAAAUGGUAAAUGGUUUGCCCUUAUCAUUUUAAUGCAUAAAAUCCCGUAAUGUGGCUUCAACAUGCAUAACAAAGCAAGUUCUAGAAUAAACAAACUAGGAUUGAUAUUCACAUAACAAAAAAAAAAAUAAUUAGAGCAAAGUGGUUGCUCAUAGGCUCAAAUCCUCACAAAAUUGGUAAAUUUGCCAUCAAAUCAUGUACACUCUUCAAAUGAAUCAACCAUCAAUAGUGGUGUAGAAUGAGAAGAAGGUAUGAGUGAGAUAUAAAAGGAAAGGUAAAAAGGAUAAUAAGCGAGAAAGAUGUAUGUAGUAAUAUGAAAAGUGAAAGAUAAAAUGUGAGUGAUGAAAGAGUAUGGUAAAAUAAAAAUAGACAUGAAUAAUUUGAGAUAGAUGGGAAAAAAGUAGUGAGAAGGAAAAGAAAAGAAAAAUAAUAAUAUAUGAAGCAUACUAACUCCAAAAUCAUUUAAGGAUGAGUAGAGUGAAAAUAGAUUAGUAGAGUGAAAACAAUAAUUCCAGACAUCAAUAAUGCAAAAAUCCCUCCCCCAUACCAAGAACUUACAUUGUCCCUAAUGUAAGAUAAUCAAAGCUCACAUAAAAGUUAAAGCGUAACGAUAAAAGAUUAAGGGCAAAAAGAAACUUUCCUGAAUUGUGAGCUUUGAUCCACAUAACGUCUAUGGGCUUGGCGGAAAUGGUGGGGUAAAUCCCACACUCUCGAAGUAUGCGGCCAAAUUCUGCUCCAUCUUGUUCAGCUUGUGCUCUAUUUUCUCUAACUGAAUGCUCAAAGGUGGUGCAGAUGUAGAAUGAAUAGUUGGCGGGGCAGCAAUGUCGUCGUCAAACUCAUCAUCAGAGGUAGCACCACUCCUAGCAUAAAGCUUCUUCGGAAGUUGAGUGGGUCCUGGUUCAGUAAACUGAAAUCUUCCCUCCUUGAAUUCAACCACACCUGUUCUUUCAAACACAGACAUAUCCAAAAAUUCCUCUCUUUCUCUUGUUGAGUCGCGAACGCGAGGCACCCUCCGAGAUUGGAUUCCGCAAGUGGCAAAACACUCAUGCCUUUUCCAUGCUUCGAUCUUUGUCUCACGGCUUUCAAUUUACCCGGCUGGAAUACAGGGCGUAGGCUGGUUGCGUUGCGUUGCUGCUCGGUUUGGGGCUAGUUACGCACUGCUGCUGCGUGGCUGUGUUGCGCGCAAGAGCUGGUUCGCGCUGCUGGUCUGCUGCUGCUCGGCUAUGUUGCACGCGCGGGACUGAUGCGCUGCGGGAUGGUGCUGGCUGGAUUGAUUUAGGCUGCGCGCGCGGGCUGGAGCUGAGAAUCUGCGUUGCUGGGGCUUGCGUUGCGGGUCUGUUGCGUGCUGCUCGUCUGCGUUGCGCGUGCGGAAUGGUGGUCGAUGCUGGUGCUGCGCGCGCGGGGCUUGCUUUGCGCGCUGUUGGGCUGCGAGAUGCAGGAUAGUGCUCGAUGCUUGCUAGUUCAGGCGGGCUGGUUUGCGUUGCAGGUGGGACUGAUGCGGUUGCAGCUGGUUCUGCGCGCUGGAGCUAAGGGUUGCUGCGGGAAAACGAAAAUCAACAAUGAAUUUUUUUGAAUUAGGGAUUUGUGAACAGUGAUUUUUGAUUUUUGGUUUUUUUUUUCGUUUUUUUAAAUAAAUAAAUAAAUAAAUAUAUAUAUAUAUAAGAAAGAAAAGAAGGGAAAAAAAACUUUUUUUUUCAUUUUUUUUAUAAAUAAAUAAAAAAUAUAUAUAAGAAAGAAAAUAAGGAGAAAAAAAGAAAACUCCUUUUUUUUCUUUUUUUUUUCUUUUUUUUAGUGAUGAAUCACUUUGAGACACUAAAAAUUUCAGAAGUACUUUUCUAAUAAGCACGUGGGCACGCCUUAAAACUAUUUUACUUUAAAAAUUACAGAAGUACUUAUUAGUUAAGACGUGGGCACGCCUUAUCAAAAAUUUUCUUCUGAUCAAAAUAAACAAACACAUUAUUAUAAAAAAAAAUCUGAAUCAAAAUUAAAAGAAGAUAUAACAAAAACCAAAAUAAACAAAUCAUUUGGGUUGCCUCCCAAAGAGCGCCUUUAUUUUAUGUCUUUGGCUAGACACAUUUAUGCAUCAAUCUCCAUAAUUGGGACUCUCGAGAGCCACAUCCUCCACAAUAUUCACCGAAAAACCUUCAUAAAAAGGUUUUAAGUGAUGACCGUUAACCUUAAAAACUUUGUCAGAGGUCGAACUCCGAAUCUCAACAGCACCAUGAGGAAAAACAUUAGUAACAAUAAAAGGUCCAACCCAGCAAGAUCGUAAUUUACUUGGAAAAAGUUUAAGCUUAGAAUGAAAAAGAAGAACUUUUUGACCAACAGAGAACUCCUUUCUCAAAAUCAUUCUAUCAUGAAAUGUUGUUAGAGUGCAAUUUAUGCACUAGUUUUGCAUUGUUUACUUCCCUUAAUAUCGAUGUUUUGCACUUAAUAAUAGUGAUUUACUUGUGAUUUACUUUUGUAGGUGCAAUUCUAUUGAUUGGUGAUAAAAUUCAUCCCUAAACAUCAUCUUGUAGCUCAAUUUUAUCACCAAUCAAUAGAAUUGCACCUACAAAAGUAAAUCACAAGUAAAUCACUAUUAUUAAGUGCAAAACAUCGAUAUUAAGGGAAGUAAACAAUGCAAAACUAGUGCAUAAAUUGCACUCUAACAAUAAUCCAACUUUCUCAAUGGAUUUGUCUAAUACAUUCAAUUUAUUUUUAUUCUGUACAUGUUUGGUUAAUUAUCUUGGUCUGUUAAGUUUAAGUCCAGUUGCAAGUCCCAUUUGGUUACGCAUUGUGUUCGUGUUGCUACUCAAUCCUUCAUAAAAUAGUUUAAGGUUUGGAAGUUAACUACUUUUAUUGAUUUCGUAUGACUUUUUGCUAGUUUAUCACUCACGGCAUAUAAUUAAUCAAUUCUUCCAGGCGUACCAUGACAUCUAGGACCAUAAGCAUUUGUGUGUUAAUGUAUUAAACUGAUCACUUAGAUCAAAUUUCAAUUUGGACUUGAAUUGCAGUUUUAGUGUCCUAUAUGAUUGGUCUUUCUCAAUUUUACCAAACAUAUGUUCGUUCUGAAAAUAUUAAAGUGGAUUUGAUAGUUUAAACAAUUUGAGGUUGGAUUUUGGCAGUUUGAAGUUGUAUAUUCUGGUACCAAUCAAGACAAGGAAGUGGAUGCCGAGUUUGAAACAACGAGUAGACAUCUGAAAGUCACGCCACAUUGGAUGAUCACACAAAAAUUGGACCUUACAGAGGAACAACACGGACAAAUUAAGCAGGAGCUGGAAAUGUAUAAAAUUUGAGCAGCUGUAGGAUCCAUAAAUGCAAAGAAUCAACCGGAUUAUUCGAACGAACGUACCUCUAAUGGUCUUUUUGGAAUGUCAACCAGUCAUGAAGUCCAAACGCGAAGUGGACGAGGAGGAGGCUGAUACUAAUUCUAGAAACUUCAAGAGCUUUCACUCCCAUGCCUUUUGAAUGUCUUUCUUGCUUCAGAAUUCAAAUGCAAGCUUUCCCUCUCAGUAUUUCUUCGUUGAGACAUUUUCUCGAACAGUUUUAUACUUAUGUCAAACAUCUUCUGAUAUAACUAGGAAGCCAGUAAGAUUGUUUUUCAAGUACGCUAAGCGGAAACAGUAGGCAAGGCCUUUGUCAUUAUAUCUGCCACUUGAUUUUUUCUGCCCACAUUCUUCUUAUUCAAUUCGUUUGUUCCAAUUUUGUCCCUAAUGAAGUGGUCUUAUAUCUCUAUACACUUUGCUCUUCCAUGAAAGACUAGAUUCUCUGCAAGUGCUAUUGCACUCUUGUUGUCACAUCACAACAGAGGAAUAAUUAAACAUACAAGGAUCUUAACCAGCUGAUCAUUUCUGCCGCUACAUGAGACAGGGCUCUGUAUUAUACUUUUGUACUUGAUUUUGAGACCACCUUUUGAUUCUUGGAGCUACAUGAGAUCAGAUUUCUUGCGGGGUAAAAAUAUUCAUGAAAACCCUCAAGUAUUUAUGACAUUUAAAUAAAAAUAGAGUUUGAUUUUUCUUUCAAGUAUGUUCCUACAUUAAUAUCUACUUAAAAACUGACAAUAUCAUUUAAAAAAAAUUAUUCUUCCACCUUUAAAAUUCAAUAUUAAAGAGUAAUUUGUCAUUUUUAAUUAGAGUUAGAGGCUUGUUUUAUUAUAUAUAUAAAAUCAUUCUCAGAUGCAAUAGUCCUCAUUUUUUUGUGCAGAUACACUAUUAAACCACGCAGUUCAAAAGUUAAUUAAAAUGAAUGGUUUAACAGUGUGUUUAUAUAAAAAAAAAUAAUAAUAAGGGCCUCGACAUUAGAGAUUAUAUAUAUUAUUCUAAUUAGGGAUCCCUAACCAUAUUAAAGUCAGGGGACAAGUUAAAAAAUAAAAAAUAAAAAUUUCAAUGUAUUUUGUCAUAUAAUGUAUUGAAAUCUGUAUUUUCUUUUGUCUUUUAUGCUGUGUUUACUUUUUGGAUUGGAGUGGGAAUCUUGAGAAGUGGAAAUCCUUGGAUUAGGAGUGUGGAGUGGGAGUGGGAGUAGGGUGUUUACUUAGACUAAAUGAAAGUAUGGAUUGUCAAUCAGAAUCCCAAUUAUUUGUUUACUUUGUCUUGGAUUGACAGUAAAUUGUUUUAAAUUAUAAUUUUAUCCUUAUGUAUAGAAUUAUAAUUUGUAAUUAAAAAAUUAAUAAAAAAUAUAUUUGGAAAAUAAAAUAAAUAUUUUAUUAUAUUUAUAAAUUAAUAAUAAUUACUAAUAUUCUUAAUUAUGUAAAUCAUAAUUUUUUAUUAAUUUUAAUUUAAAUUAUGUGAAUAAAAAUUAUUAAUAAUAGCAACACAAAUGAAAUAUUAUUAUUGAUAAUAUAGUACAAAAUUAAUAUUUUUUUAGAAUAAAAUAUUUAUUAUUAUUAAAUAAAUAAUUAAUAUUUAUUAAAAUUAAUUUUUAAUAUUAUUAAUUUAAAUAUAAUAUUUAUUUAUUUUUAUUUUAUUAAAUUUAAUAAAAUAAAUAUGAUAUAAUUAUUAUUUUUAAUAAAUAUUAUUUAUUUAUUUUAUUAAAUAUUAUUUAUUUUAUUUAUAAGGAUAAAAUGGGAAGAGGGGGGAGGGGAUUCCCACUCUCACCUCCCCCCAUGGGAGUGGGAAUCCCACUUCCCACUCCAAAAUUGGGUGGGACUCACAGAUUCCCACUCCCACUCCCCCCUUGUUUAAGGUAAGUAAACACUGGAGUGGGAGGAAUCCACACUCCACACUCCCACUCCAAAAAAUAAACACUGCCUUAGUUUAUCCCUAUUUUAAUAUGGUUGAAGAUUCGUAAUUAGAAACCCACUCUAAUUAUCUAUGUAUUUACUAUUUUUAAUACAUUCGCACAAAUAUUUAUAUACAAUAAAUGUAUUACUUAGCCCUGCCUGAUAAAAGAUCCCGGGUCCGGCUCUGAAGGAAGAUGCAAUAUCCUCCUGCUGACGCUUCAUUAACCUUUUUCCUUUCAUUUUAAACUUUCUGAAUUAUUGCCUUUCGUAAUUCUCAUAUCAUGCAUUGAGUAUUUAUCUAACUAUGAAAUUAAUUUGAUUAAUAGAGUAUGUUAUAGAAGGACGGGUAUCUAUUAAAAGUGAUGUUGUCGCGGAAUUGAGCUUGAAGUGUUGGAUUAAUGACUUGUUACCUAUUUCAUUGAUGGAAUUGUUGUGGACAUAAAUCUGCUAAGUGGAGAGGAAAGACAUUUUUGCUGUAAAGAAGCAAUGUGUGCUGUCUAUGGGAGCUGUAAUGAGUGGACUCUUCAACAAUGUACAAUAUUAUACAGUAUAUACAAAGACACACUAUCACACUAAAAAAUCUUGAGUUGACUCCUUAAUUUAUUUCAUCAAUCCCCACUUUUGAGUUAAUAUUAUUUAUCUUAAGAUUGUCCUUAAUGAAAAAUAAAAAUAAUUAAAAAAAUAAAUAUUUUUUCAUUCUAUCAAGUUCUUAGUAGAUUAAAUUCUUAUCUCUCACAAUUCUCUCAUCUUUUAAUUUAUUCAUAAUUUGAAUCAAAUAUUAACUCUUGAUCAAACCCCAAAUUAAAAUAAACAAAAUAUUAGAUUAUCACGUAAAAUCAAAACCAGUAUUAUCAAUAACAACAAAAAUCACCGCUUAUCCAUUAAAUUUAACAAAAACCAACAUUUAAAUUCAUCAAAUAUUGGCAGAGGUAGUGGAUUCAAGGUGAAGAAAAUAGAUGAUGGGAACGAACUCGUUGUUGAUGAAGUGGUGGGGGUGAUAAUUAUAUACGAGGGAGGGGAAGGUAGAGACAGAAUAAAAUAAUUUUUUUUUUGUUUCAAUAGAGAUAAUUCUACAAAAUAAUAAGAUUAAUUGAUAAGCGGGGUUGAUGAGAUAAUUUGAGGGGUUCAAAUAUCAUUACUCAUAUCCAUUUACAUGAAGCUAAUUAAAAAUAGUGAAGUAAUUAAAUACGCUAAUCAUACACAGCUGCCAUGUUAACUAUUAAAACAGCCUAAUGAGCUUAGCCUCAGUUUGAUCCUCUCCGUUGAUCUGCCAUUCCUAUCAUCACUACUUGCCACCUCGCAUUGUAUCAAAUCUCUUCUGUGUCCUCAUUGUACCCUCUCUUCGUAACACAUAAGCAGAAUCUAUUCUUGUACCAAAUUACCAAAUUACCACAAAACUGUUAGAGAGUCGGUGUGAUUUACUUACUGUUAAAUAAUAAAGAGAGUAAUUUUCUUUUUUUAAAUUUGAAUCUACCCGCCACUUCCAAGACAGAGAAAGCGUCGUCGUUUUAUGAUGGCUCCAUCAUCAUUUCCAUCUCCUCUCGAACGCACUGUCGCUUCAGCUCUUCUCCUGCUCUCCGUCUCCAAUCAAUCUCCCUCUCUCUCUUCCCCACUGUAAGACCUUCAUUAUUUCACUCUCAAAACUGUUUUUGUUUCUUAUUUGUUUUUCCUUAUUGAUUUGUUUGAUGUUUGUUUAAUGCAACGUGUAGGUUCGACACAGAUGGUGAAUUACUGCUGAAGAGCAAGAGCAGCAGCCGGGACGAAGAGAGCGUGAGCUUACUGUCGAGUGGAGAUUCAAAACGGUGCGUUUCGACGGUUACUAGUGAAGAUGCCUCCUCCAGUGAGAUCCGAGCUCACAAGCUGAGGAUCAUCGCUGUUGUGGCUCGCUGUCAUGAAGUGAAACUCAAGGUACAUGUUCUUCUGUUUGGUUUAAUAUAUAUGAUUAUGUAAAUGGUUUCGUAGUUCUUAGUUUGAAUUUGAUCUGAAAUUUUUUGUUUGAUAAUAAAAUGAAAUCACAUCUCUGUUUUCUACUUCGUAAACAGUCAUCUCUUCGGAAUCAAUUUUUUUGUUGUUCGUGUUGAAUUUUAUCAAAAGUGAUCAUUAAAACUUGUUUUUCUCAAAUUUAUGUUUGAUCUCUCAGUUUUUUUUUUUUUCUCGACUCUUCAAUUCAAUUUCACUGGAAAUUUACUAGAAGAUUCAAAUUCUGCUCUGUUUGGACCUGUUUCGUUUUGAAUUCUCGUAAUCAUUUGAAGGCUCAAGCUACUUAAAUUUUGUUAAAACUGUAGAACCUGAAGGGCACUUCAGUUGCUCAAACACCUUCAGCCUCUGCCCAAGAUUCAAGAUCAGAUUCCUAGAUGCUUGACUAUAGAUGACUUGAAAAAGGUUUAACCAAGAACUUCAAGUGAACAGAACAAUCAAUGGUUUAAGAAUCAAAGAAUCGAAAGAAACUAAAGAAUAAAGAACAGAAGAGAUUUAACGUGGUUCAGCUAAAACACUUAGCUUACAUCCACGGAGGAACAAGACUUCAGGCUUUUAUUGAAUGAACUCAAGAUUACAGAGAAUUACAGAUUGUAUCUCAUGGAAAAUUACCACCCUUAAACCCAGGAGUAACCCCCCUUUUAUACUCAUAAAUUGUAGCCAACUCUCUGCACCAGAAUCAGCUCCUUUUCAGUUGCUGAUAACUUCCUGGAAACUAAUCCCAGAUGCUCACGUGCAAGCCAUGCUUCAUUAACGACUUUAACCGCUUCUUUCAUUCGAAUCCAUUCACGUGAGUCUCAGGUGUUUCACUUAAGUCAAACGACAUUCCAAGACAUCGUUUCACUUAGCUUUGGUUUACACUCCGAAACGCACUCCCUCAAGUCGUUUUGAAUGUCACUGAAUUGCUUUCACUGGUUACUUUACAAAUCUCCACCUUGAAACAAUUCAUCCCUGUCAAUCUUUCUCCUCAACUUCAUGCAAGUUACAAACUGCAUAUUUCAGCUAUGUCCAAGCAGGUCUUAAACUUAGCUGAGGGUACCACCUUUGUAAGCAUAUCUGCAGGGUUGUUGCUGGUAUGUAUUUUUACCAUUUUUACAACUCCUUUUGAUAUUACAUUCCUUAUGAAAUGCAACUUAAUGUCGAUAUGCUUGGUCUUCUCAUGAUGAGCUGGAUUUUUGCUCAAGUAAAUGGCACUUGAGCUGUCACAGUGAAUAUCAACAACCUUCUGAGGUAUUCCUAACUCACUGAUUAAGCCUUUAAGCCAUAAAGCCUCCUUUACAGCUUCUGAGACUGCAGUAUACUCAGCCUCUGUAGUUGAUAAAGCCACUACAUGUUGCAAGCUUGCUUUCCAGCUUAUCAGACAUCCAUUCAACAUGAACAUGUAUCCAGUUUGUGACCUCCUUCUGUCCAGAUCUCCAGCAUAAUCAGAGUCAACAUAGCCCCAUAAACCAGCUUCAUUUAACUCUUGAUUCUUUCCAUAUAGCAACCCAAACUCCAAAGUUCCAUUUAGGUAUCUCAGCACCCAUUUAGCUGCCUUCCAAUGCUCUUUUCCAGGUGAAGCCAUAUACCUGCUUAUCAAGCUUAGAGCAUGUGAAAUAUAUGGUCUUGUGAGGACCAUUGCAUACAUCAUACACCCUACUGCAUUGGCAUAGGGUACCUUAGACAUCUCUUGCCUUUCUUCACUUGACUUUGGACACUGCUGGUUUGAGAGUUUAAAAUGAGAGGCUAGAGGUGUUAUCACUGGUUUACAGUUGCUCAUUCCAAAGGUAUUAAGUACUUUUUCCAAGUACUUCUUCUGAGACAAAAACAUAGUUCCCUUCCUUCAGUCUCUUGUUAUUUCUAUUCCCAAAAUCUUCUUGGCAUGACCCAGAUCCUUCAUAUCAAACUCAGAGUUCAGCAUCUAUUUUAAGGCUUCAACUUCUUUCCUCACUUUACAAGCAAUCAACAUAUCAUCAACAUAUAGUAGCAAGUAUAUGUGAUGAUCUGAAUCUAUUUGCUUGUAGUAUACACAACAAUCAAAAUUGCACCUCAUAAAUCCAUGUGAAAUCAUGAAUUCAUCAAACCUGAGGUACCAUUGCCUUGGGGACUGCUUUAAGCCAUACAAUGACUUCUUCAGCAAGCACACAUGGUCAGGGUAUUUAGAGCUUUCAAAACCUUCAGGUUGAGUCAUUAAAAUCUCCUCCUGUAGUCUCCCAUGUAAGAAAGCUGUUUUAACAUCAAGUUGAUCAAGCUCCAUGUCAUAUACAGCUGUUAGAGCUAACAAAACUCUUAUGGAAACAUGUCUGACCACUGGAGAGAAGACUUCCUUAAAAUCAACUCCUUCCUGCUGUGUAUAUCCCUUUGCUACUAACCUAGCUUUGAAUCUCCUAGGUUCAUCAGUUGUCGGCCCUUCUUUUACCUUGAAAAUCAAUUUGCACCCCACAAUCCUUCUUUUCUCAGGUUUCUUUACCAAUUCCCAGGUGUUGUUCUUGUACAGUGAGUCCAUUUAAUCUUCCAUAGUCCUCUGCCACUCUGAUUUAUAUGAACUCUUCAUAGCCUCUCUAUAGCUUGUUGGCUCAUUUUCCUCAAUCUCAUGUGAUGCUGCCAGUGCAUAUGCAAUGAGGUCUGCAUAACCAUAUCUUUGUGGAGGUCUUAUCUGUCUUCUCUCUCUAUCUUUGACCAGGUGAUAGUCUCUAAGUUGGGUUUGAGUGUGCUGUUGAGAUUGUGGCUCAGUGUUUCCACUACUGUCAUCUUUAUCUCCAUUAGAAUCUAUAGCUUCUUGUGAGGAUUUUAGAUUUGGAUGCUCCACCUCAAAAUGUAUACUCUCUGGAGUUUUAGUCUGAGGUUUAGUACCAUUUUCUUGUAGCUUUUUCUUGAGCACAGUCUCUUCAUUAAAGAUCACAUCCCUGCUGAUGAUGCACCUUGGUGGGGAUAGGUCUGUGCACCAUAACUUGUAACCCUUUACACCCUCUGGAUACCCGAUAAACUUCCCUUUCAGAGCUCUUGGAGAUAACUUCCCUUGCUUUACAUGUGCAUAAGCAUCACAUCCAAAAGCCUUAAGCUCUAUAUAGUUACCAGGUUUUCCAGACCACAUUUCUGAUGGUGUUUUAAAGUCAAUUGCAGCAGAUGGGCUAAGGUUCACCAAAAAACAGGCAGUCAGCAAGGUUUCUGCCCAUAGCCCUUUAGGAAGUUGGGACUGUAUCAUCAUGCAUCUGACUUUAUCCAUUAAAGUCCUGUUCAUCCUUUCAGCUAGGCCAUUUUGCUAUGGGGUUAACCUUACUAUUCUAUGUCUUGCAAUCCCUUCAUUUGCACAGAAACUGUCAAACUCUUGAUUACAAUACUCAAGGCCAUUGUCUGUUCUUAGUUUCUUAACCCUUUUCUCAGUUUGAUUUUCAACCAAUGCUUUCCACUCUUUAAAUUUCCCAAACACCUGAUCUUUACUUUUCAGCACAUACACCCACACUCUCCUAGAGUAGUCAUCUAUCAUUGUCAUAAAAUAUCUAUUUCCACCCAAAGAUGGAACCUGAGAAGGUCCCCAUAAGUCUGAAUGUAUAUAUUGCAGAAUCUCAGAUGUCUUAUGUAUAGAUUUCUUGAAGUUAUUCCUAGUGGAUUUACCUAGAAUGCAUUCUUCACAGAACACUAGCUCCCCAAUCUUAUCUUUCCCCAGAACACUCUGCUUAUUAAGUUCUUUCAGGCCUUUAAUACUCAUAUGCCCAAGUCUUAAGUGCCAUAGAGUAGUUUUAUCUAUGUCAGUGCUUUCAAUGGCAUUAGAGACCCCUGUUACAGACUCCCCAUCUAAGACAUAAACCCCAUUCUUUCUGGUCCCUUUCAUAACCAGUGCAGAUCUAUUAAGAAUCUUCAAUUCACCUGAUUCAAGCUUAAUGCUACAUCCCAUUUGAUCUAUCAUUCCUAAAGAAAUCAAAUUCCUUUUAAGUUCUGGAACAUGCCUAACUUGUCUGAUUUCUUUUACAGACCCAUCAUGUACCUUAAGAUGAAUUUUACCAAUCCCAAUGAUUUUACACACUGAAUUAUUACCCAUCAUUACUCUUCCUCCAUCAAAGUCUUGAUAAUUAGAAAAAUAACCCUUAUAUGGACUCAUAUAAAAUGUGCAACUAGAGUCAAGAAUCCACUUACCCUUUUGCAUAUCCUCAGUAGCAACACACACACCUGCUGACUCAUAGCCAUCUUCUUCUUCUUCAGCUGUAGCUGCAUUCCCAACCCUCUCCUUAUUCUUGUGCUUUAAGUCUGGGCAAUCCUUCUUGAAAUGUCCUUCCUUAUGGCAAUGGAAACAUUUCAAGUCUUUUGGCUUGGUCUUGGAUUUGGACUGCUUCUGAUUCUUUGCUGCAUUCUUAUUCUUUUCAAACUUCCCCUUUACUGUUAACCCAACUCCACUUUCUAUACUCACAGACUUUUGUUGCAACCCUCUAGUAUUUAAGGCUGCAUUUACCUCAUCCAGGGACAGUGUCUGCCUCCCAUACAUUAGGGCAUCCACAAAAUUAGAGUAUGAUUGUGGAAGUGAGCUUACCAAGAGCAGAGCUUUACUUUCAUCACUGAGGCUUUCAUCAAUUGUCUCCAGGGUGUCACACACUCUAUUGAAUUCAUCUAUAUGAUCAUCAAGAGAGGAUCCCUCUGCCAUCUUUAGAGUAAACAUCCUUUUCUUUAUAUGCAAUCUGUUGGUGUUAGAGUGCAAUUUAUGCACUAGUUUUGCAUUGUUUACUUCCCUUAAUAUCGAUGUUUUGCACUUAAUAAUAGUGAUUUACUUGUGAUUUACUUUUGUAGGAGCAAUUCUAUUGAUUGGUGAUAAAAUUGAGCUACAAGAUGAUGUUUAGGGAUGAUUGUUCCCUUGGAGAAAUUAUGAGCGGCAGAAGAACUUUGUUGAUAAGGCGUGGGCGCGUGCUGUCAGCUGCGGACCUACAUUUUUAGUUUAACGUGUUUUAUAUUUUUGGUUAUUUUUGUAAUUACGAAUUUAAUAUUUCAUAUAUUAGUAUUUUAUUUUAAAUAGAAUUCUAGAGGAGAAGAGAGAGAGAAUAUUUAACGGAGGAAUCUAUUGUGAAAAAGAGGGAUUUUUUGGGGGAUUGGAGAAAAAGAAAAAAACCCUAGAUUUAAUUUUCCUCUUCUCUCUAUGAAGAACUAAACCUAUUUUUCUGGUUGAAGGAUAAUGAAGCUUUGAUUCAUCACUACUGUGAGAUCUUUCUUGUGCUUUAAUUGUUUUAUUACUUUUUGGGUAUUUGUUUAUUCUCUGAAUUAUUUUUAUGAUUAUGUUUGUUAAUUAGGUAAUUGGCCACUAUUUAAUUAUCAACUUAAUCUAUUGUCAAUUAAAGGAUUCAUCGUAUGGAGAAUUUAAUGUUGGUGACAAAUAACAUAGCAGAGAGUUGUGUUGUGAGAAUAAACAAUCUAAUUUAAAUGAAUCAUCAUAUGUGUUGAUUAGGAUUUGGGUCUCUCUGGUUUUUCAGGCUGUCAAUUGAUUAAAUCCUAUGAUCGUAUCUAGGGUUGUCUAUUGAUUAGGGAAAUAACCAACGGUCGUACCUUGGUUAUCGACUAGUUAAGGAGAGAUUGGCUAUUAGAGGGUCUCAGUAGCUAUAACCGGUCUAUUCAUAAGUAAUAAUAAUCUAUAUUUGAAUCAAUGAUCAGUAGUCGAAUCAAGCUGAGUUAAUUCCUUCAACCAGAGCUUUCUCCAAUUUGAAUUACAACUUUAAUUUGCAUUCUUGUUAUUUUAAUUUGAUUUUAUUAUUGUCAACAAUUCCCCCAUUUUACGUUUUACGUUUCAAAAGGAUUUAAAUAAUUACCGAUCUCUGUGGACACGACCCUGCUCAAUCACUAUACACAAUUUAUUUAGAGUAUGAAUUUAUUUUUGUUGGCUUCGACACCCAUCAAAUUUUGGCGCUGUUGCCGGGGAUUGGUGUCAUUUAUUUAAUCCUUUUUACGUUUUACUUGGUGUAUGGUUCGUUCUUCUCGUACAGGUACACUUUCGUUUGAUCCUGAAAUUGAGAAGACAGCUUGCCAGCUGAGACAGCAGACUAAGCAAGCUAAGCAACGAUCCUCGUCGCCUUUGCUUUUUGAAACAGAUACGGUGCCUAAUUUAGUUGAAUCAUCUAGCGAUUCGGAAGAACAAGUGAUGGAUAGACCUGCACCUGUAGAAAGAACUCUUAGAGAGUUAGCUGAACCAGACUUGAAUCAGCAACCACUCUGCAUUCAUUAUGUAGAUUUGGAGGUAAAUUUUGAAUUAAAGUCUGGUCUUAUUCAUUUAUUACCCAAGUUUCAUGGUUUUGCAGGUGAAGAUCCUCAUAAACAUCUUAACGAGUUUCAUGUUGUGUGUUCAAGUAUGAGACCACAAGGCGUGACUGAAGAGCAUAUUAAGCUGCGUGCUUUUCCGUUCUCUGUAGAUGGGCUAGCUAAAGACUGGUUGUACUACUUGCCUCCUGGAUCGAUUACAACGUGGAAUGAUUUAAAGAAGCAGUUCCUCGAGAAGUACUUUCCUGCUUCAAGAGCUGCUAACAUCAGAAAAGACAUUUGUGGGAUCAGACAACUUCCUGGGGAGACUUUGUAUGAGUAUUGGGAGCGAUUCAAACAAUUGUGUGCCAGCUGUCCUCAGCAUCAGAUUUCUCAUCAACUUCUUAUUCAAUAUUUUUACGAAGGAUUGUCAUUGAUGGAUAGGAGUAUGAUAGAUGCUGCUAGUGGAGGCAUGUUGGUGAACAAGACCCCUAGUCAAGCAAGGGAGUUGAUAUCAAAUAUGGCUGCCAAUGCACAACAAUUUGGCAGCAGGCAAGAUCUCACUUCAAGGAAGGUGAAUGAGGUAAAUAUUUCUUCUGUUGAACAACGUUUAGAUAAACUUACUUCUCUUGUGGAAAAGUUUGUUGUAGGUAAUGUGCAACAGGUGAAGACUUGUGGCAUUUGUUACAAUAUGGAUCAUUCAACUGAUAUGUGUCCUACACUUCAAGAAGAACUCAUUGAACAAGCCAAUGCAGUUGGAGGAUUUCCAGGCAUGCCUCAGAGGAGGUAUGAUCCUUAUGCACAAACAUACAAUCUGGGAUGGAAGGAUCAUCCCAACUUCAGCUAUGGAGUUAAGCCGUCAGGAUUCCCACAACAGUAUCCACCAAGACAACCAACACCUCCACAGUCAAACUCCAAGUCAGGUAUAUCUCUUGAAGAAAUUGUUAAAUCACUUGCGACUAACACUCAACAAUUUCAGCAGGCAACUACAGCAAGCAUUCAAAACUUGGAUAACCAAAUGAGUCAAUUGGCGACUACAGUGAGCCGUCUGGAGUCUCAAGUAUGAGGGAGAUUGCCUUCACAAUCUGAGGUGAAUCCAAAGCAAAACGUUAGUGCUGUCAUCCUUAGAAGUGGGAAGGAGUUGCAAGAGCCUAGUAAGAAAGUGAAAAAGUAUGUAGAAGAUGAGUUUGAGAAGAAUGAAUUGAUGCCUCAAUCUCAAGAUGCGGAACCCACCAGAGCGAAACCCCUACCUAUUGUGAUACCUCCUCCUUUUCCAAGCCGGUUUGCAAAAUCCAAAAAGGAGGAACAAGAGAAAGAUAUCCUUGAGACAUUUCGCAAGGUUGAGGUAAAUAUCCCUUUAUUAGAUGCUAUAAAACAAAUACCUCGAUAUGCUAAAGUCCUUAAGGAACUGUGCACCUCUAAGAGAAAAUUAAGAGGAGAUGAAAAAGUUCACAUGGGGGAGAAUGUUUCAGCAGUUCUCCAAAAGAAACUACCUCCUAAAUGCAAGGAUCCAGGUAUGUUUACUAUACCUUGUAAAAUUGGUAGUGUUAGAAUUGAAAAGGCUUUGUUAGAUCUAGGAGCUUCUAUUAAUGUCAUGCCUCGUUCUAUUUAUUCAUCUUUGAAUAUUGGUCCAUUAAAAGAAACUGGCGUGAUAAUUCAACUAGCUGAUAGGUCUAAUGCAUAUCCUAAUGGGAUAUUAGAAGAUGUCUUAGUACAAGUUAAUGAGUUGGUUUUUCCUGCUGAUUUUUAUGUACUUGAUAUGGAAGAUGAUAACUCCUCUAAUUCUGUCCCAAUUUUGCUAGGAAGACCUUUUCUUAAGACUGCUAGGACUAAAAUGGAUGUACAUAAAGGGACUCUCACUAUGGAGUUUGAUGGAGAGGUUAUAGAAUUCAAUAUGAAUGAUACCAUGAAAUAUCCUAGUGAGGAACAUUCAGUAUUUUUUGUGGAUGUUAUUAACCCUAUAGCGCAGGAAAUUUUUUACAAGGAAAAGACGAAGACAUUUCAUGAUAGAAUGAUUUUGAGAAAGGAGUUCUCUGUUGGUCAAAAAGUUCUUCUUUUUCAUUCUAAGCUUAAACUUUUUCUGGGUAAAUUAUGUUCUUACUGGGUUGGACCUUUUAUUGUUACUAAUGUUUUUCCUCAUGGUGCAGUUGAGAUUCGGAGUCCGACCUCUGACAAAGUUUUUAAGGUUAAUGGUCAUCGCUUAAAACCUUUUUAUGAAGGUUUUUCGGUGAAUAUUGUGGAGGAUGUGGCUCUCGAGAGUCCCAAUUAUGGAGAUUGAUGCAUAAAUGUGUCUAGCCAAAGACAUAAAACAAAGGCGAUUUUGGGAGGCAACCCAAAUGAUUUAUUUAUUUUGGUUUUUGUUAUAUCUUCUUUUAAUUUUGAUUCAGAUUUUUUUUAAAAAUAAUGUGUUUGCUUAUUUUGGCCAGAAGAAAAUUUUUGAUAAGGCGUGCCCAGGUCUUAACUAAAAAGUACUUCUGUAAUUUUUAAAGUAAAAUAGUUUUAAGGCGUGCCCACGUGCUUAUUAAAAAAAUACUUCUGAAAUUUUUGGUGUCUCAAAGUGUUUCAUCACUAAAAAAAAAAAAAAUCUUUUUUUAAUUUAAUUUAAUUUAUUUUUUAUUUAAAAAAAAUGAAAAAAAAAAGAGAUUUUCUUUUGUUCUUUCUUUUAUAUAUAUAUUUAUUUAUUUAUUAAAAAAAAAAACCAAAAAUCGAAAAUCAUUGUUCACAAAUCCCUAAUUCAAAAAUUACUGUUGAUUAUCGUUUUACAGCAGCGCGCCUCAGCUCCAGCCUUCACCCCGCAAUGCAAGCAGCAGCCAGUGCGAACCAGUCGCGUGCAACGCAAGCCCCAGCAACCCAGAUUCUCAGCUCCAGCCGUGCGCAACGUAGCUGAGCAGCAGCAAACCAGCAGUGCGAACCAGCUCUCGCGCGCAAUACAACGCGAACGCAGCAGUGCGUAGAUCCAGCCCAGCAACGCAGCACGAACCACCAGCGCGCAACGCAAGCCCCCGCGCGCGCAACACCAGCAUCCCGUGUCUCGCAGCCCAGUAGCGCGAACCACCAGCGCGCAGCGCAACGCAGCACCCGCAAAGCAAGCCUCACCAGCGCGCAACGCAAGCCCGCAACGCAGCAACGAGCACACCCUGCAACGCAACCAGCUUACGCCCUGUAUUCCAGCCGGGUAAAUCGAAAUUCGUGAGUGCAAUUAUUGUAACAAUGCCGAAGAGGAAAGCAUCCACUUCCAAGUCAUCGAAAAAGACACCCAUCGUAAAGAAAUCUAAGAUUGCCGCUCCCACUACGGUUCCAUGGAACACAAUUUCAGAUUCACGCCAAGCCGUGAGACAAAGAUCGAAGCAUGGAAAAGGCAUGAGUGUUUUGCCACUUGCGGAAUCCAAUCUCGGAGGGUGCCUUGCGUUCGCGACUCAACAAGAGAAAGAGAGGUACAAAGAUAUUUCCAUGCGCAAAAUACUUCCAGCUAAGUAUAUUCAUUACCCGACUCUUGAAAAAUUGAAUGUUAAGGAUAAUUUUGAUUCUUUGAUAGAUAAGAUUGGGUUGCGUAUAUUUGUUAAUGUUGAUUGUUUGGGUUAUGUUGAGUUGAUUAGGGAGUUUUAUGCUACUUUUCAAUUUAAUAUGCCGAAUGAUUUUACUUUGCAUACCCCGGAUGUCAUUAAGUUUAGGUUAAUGGGAUGAAAUUUUUCACACUCUAUCACGGAUUUUAACCUAGCUUUAGGAUUCAUUGAUGAUGAUUAUUCUUCUAGUGAUGCAUAUUUAGGAACAACUUGUGACUUUAGCGGAAAUUUUGAGCCUUAUGGUCUUUGGCAUAAUUUAUCUGUUGAUCACAAUGCCUAUGACCCGAGUAAAUCAAAAAGUUCUUUCUUACGUGAUCCUGUUUUGAAAUGUGUGCAUCGAUUCUUAGCAUAUAAUUUUUUAGGCAAGAAAGAUCACUCAGGAGUUUUCUCUAAAACUGAAUUUUAUUUUAUCUGGUGCAUGUUAAAUGAUGUGAGGCCUAAUUUAGGUUUUUGGUUAGCGGAUCAAUUUCAAAGUGUGCUUAAACGGUAUAGGACUUUAUUUCUUGGUCCAUACAUAACUCUGUUAGCUAUAAACCUAUGUGUGCUUGAUCCCGACAAUAAUGAUUUGCAUCCUGCUUGCAAAAAGGAAUUUUUGGAUAUGUCUGUGUUUGCAAGAACAGGUGUGGUUGAAUUCAAGGAGGGGAGAUUUCAGUUUACUGAACCAGGACCCACUCAACUUCCGAAGAAGCUUUAUGCUAGGAGUGGUGCUACCUCUGAUGACGAGUUUGACGACGACACUGCUGCCCCGCCAACUAUUCCUUCUACAUCCGCACCACCUUUGAGUAUUCAGUUAGAGAAAAUGGAGCACAAGCUGAACAAGAUGGAGCAGAAUUUGGCCGCAUACUUCGAGAGUGUGGGAUUUACCCCACCAUUUCCGCCAAGCCCAUAGACGUUAUGUGGAUCAAAGCUCACAAUUCAGGGAAGUUUCUUUUUGCCCUUAAUCUUUUAUCCUUACGCUUUAAUUUUUAUGUGAGCUUUGAUUAUCUUACAUUGGGGACAAUGUAAGUUCUUGGUGUGGGGGAGGGAUUUUUGCAUUAUUGAUGCCUGGAAUUAUUAUUUUCACUCUACUCAUCUAUUUUCACUCUACUCAUCCUUAAAUGAUUUUGGAGUUAGCAUGCUUCAUAUAUUAUUAUUUUUCUUUUCUUUUCCUUCUCACUACUUUUUUCCCAUCUAUCUCAAAUUAUUCAUGUCUAUUUUUAUUUUAUUAUACUCUUUCAUCACUCACAUUUUAUCUUUCACUUUUCAUAUUACUACAUACAUCUUUCUCGCUUAUUAUCCUUUUUACCUUUCCUUUUAUAUCUCACUCAUACUUUCUUCUCAUUCUACACCAUUAUUGAUGGUUGAUUCAUUUGAAGAGUGUACAGGAUUUGAUGGCAAAUUUACCAACUUUGUGAGGAUUUGAGCCUAUGAGCAACCACUUUGCUCUAAUUAUUUUUAUUAUGUGAAUAUCAAUCCUAGUUUGUUUAUUCUAGAACUUGCUUUAUUAUGCAUGUUGAAGCCACAUUACGGGAUUUUAUGCAUUAAAAUGAUAAGGGCAAACCAUUUACCAUUUUUCUAUUCUCGCAUUUUCCUUUUUCUCUACCCGAAGACCUUUAUUUGCUACCUUUGUUUGAGCCUUAACAAUUACCCAUCUAAUUCUCUCCGUCUACUUAACCAUUUUUCUUCUUUUUUGAGCCUUAAUUUAAGGAGAUUUUUGGACUCAUUGUGUGGAUAUAUUUUGUUGCUUUUUCUACCUUGUAAUAAAGUUUCUCAAUUAGAUCAACAAGCAUUAUGCUUGAAUUAAAUUGUACAAGGUUCGUUUCUUUUGUUUGAUUCAUCACUAAAAAAAAAACAAAAACAAAAACAAAAGAAAAAAAAGAAAAAGAAAAAUCACAAAAAAAAAAUGUUUACAUUCUUGGUGACUUGAGUAGAAAUAAGCAUUUUGAUAUCAUAAGUUCAUUCAAUGAGUUCAUUUUUCUCGUUUUGAUCUCUUUUUCUUUCGUAAACCUUUCUUUUUCAUUUAACCUAUUUAACCCCAUUACAACCCUUUUAAGACCCUUAGAUUUUUGCACUUUAUUCAUGUUUUGUGGAUUGAGAUGUGAUAUAUGAGCAAGCUUAUGGUAAUAGCAUUCUUUGAUUUGAUUUGAGUGGAUAAAUGACACCCUAAACACUUUGAGUGCAUGGAGUGAAGUUAUUGAGAGGGCUAUUAAAUCUUGUUGCACUUGAAUUUUGAAUGGAUCUUCUUGGUGGUUGAAUGUUCUUAUUCUAUCUUAUGAAAUUCUAUGCUUUAAAAUCCUUGUCUCUCAAAUGUUGAUCGACUUAAUUUCUUGAGAUAUGCCUGCUUAAAAUUGUUUUUGGAUGAGUUGAGAUGAGAAUUGAGUGGAGAUUUGGAAUUAAUCUUGAGUUAUAUGCUUGAGGACAAGCAUCAUCUUGGUGUGGGGGAAUUUGUUAGAGUGCAAUUUAUGCACUAGUUUUGCAUUGUUUACUUCCCUUAAUAUCGAUGUUUUGCACUUAAUAAUAGUGAUUUACUUGUGAUUUACUUUUGUAGGUGCAAUUCUAUUGAUUGGUGAUAAAAUUGAGCUACAAGAUGAUGUUUAGGGAUGAUUGUUCCCUUGGAGAAAUUAUGAGCGGCAGAAGAACUUUGUUGAUAAGGCGUGGGCGCGUGCUGUCAGCUGCAGACCUACAGUUUUUAGUUUAACGUGUUUUAUAUUUUUGGUUAUUUUUGUAAUUACGAAUUUAAUAUUUCAAAUAUUAGUAUUUUAUUUUAAAUAGAAUUCUAGAGGAGAAGAGAGAGAGAGUAUUUAAGGGAGGAAUCUAUUGUGAAAAAUGGGGAUUUUUUGGGGGAUUGGAGAAAAGAAAGAAACCCUAGAUUUAAUUUUGCUCUUCUCUCUAUGAAGAACUAAACCUAUUUUUCUGGUUGAAGGAUAAUGAAGCUUUGAUUCAUCACUACUGUGAGAUCUUUCUUGUGCUUUAAUUGUUUUAUUGCUUUUUGGGUAUUUGUUUAUUCUCUGAAUUAUUUUUAUGAUUAUGUUUGUUAAUUAGGUAAUUGGCCACUAUUUAAUUAUCAACUUAAUCUAUUGUCAAUUAAAGGAUUCAUCGUAUGGAGAAUUUAAUGUUGGUGACAAAUAACAUAGCAGAGAGUUGUGUUGUGAGAAUAAACAAUCUAAUUUAAAUGAAUCAUCAUAUGUGUUGAUUAAGAUUUGGGUCUCUCUGGUUUUUCAGGCUGUCAAUUGAUUAAAUCCUAUGAUCGUAUCUAGGGUUGUCUAUUGAUUAGGGAAAUAACCAACGGUCGUUCCUUGGUUAUCGACUAGUUAAGGAGAGAUUGGCUAUUAGAGGGUCUUAGUAGCUAUAACCGGUCUAUUCAUAAGUAGUAAUAAUCUAUAUUUGAAUCAAUGAUCAGUAGUCGAAUCAAGCUGAGUUAAUUCCUUCAACCAGAGCUUUCUCCAAUUUGAAUUACAACUUUAAUUUGCAUUCUUGUUAUUUUAAUUUGAUUUUAUUAUUGUCAACAAUUCCCCCAUUUUACAUUUUACGUUUCAAAAGGAUUUAAAUAAUUACCGAUCUCUGUGGACACGACCCUGCUCAAUCACUAUACACAAUUUAUUUAGAGUAGGAAUUUAUUUUUGUUGGCUUCGACACCCAUCAGUUGGCGAGAGACUUUGUCAUAUAGAUUGUUUCCAGUUUUGCCCACAGAUCAGCCACUGUCUUUUCUUUGGCAACUUCUCUAAUAACAGAGUCUCCAAGACUCAAGAUUAUUGUGCUCCUUGCCCUUUUAUCUAUAUCAGUAGCCUGUUGAGGUGUUAGUGAUGAUAAAGCUUCCAUUCCCUCCUUCUUGGUGACUGGUUCUAAGGCAUCUCCCAGUCCCUGAGUUAUCAGUAGAGCCUCCAUCUUUACUUUCCACAUAUUGAAGUCGUUCUUGCCUGUAAACUUCUCCAGAUCAACUUUAGGGUGAGCCAUACUAGAAUCUGAUUAAAGAAACCCUGCUCUGAUACCAAUUGUAGAACUUGAAGGGCACUUCAGUUGCUCAAACACCUUCAGCCACUGCCCAAGAUUCAAGAUCAGAUUCCUAGAUGCUUGACUAUAUAUGACUUGAAAAAGGUUUAACCAAGAACUUCAAGUGAACAGAACAAUCAAUGGUUUAAGAAUCAAAGAAUCGAAAGAAACUAAAGAAUAAAGAACAGAAGAGAUUUAACGUGGUUCAGCUAAAACACUUAGCUUACAUCCACGGAGGAACAAGACUUCAGGCUUUUAUUGAAUAAACUCAAGAUUACAGAGAAUUACAGAUUGUAUCUCAUGGAAAAUUACCACCCUUAAACCCAGGAGUAACCCCCCUUUUAUACUCAUAAAUUGUAGCCAGCUCUCUGCACCAGAAUCAUCUCCUUUUCAGUUGCUGAUAACUUCCUAGAAACUAAUCCCAGAUGCUUACGUGCAAGCCAUGCUUCAUUAACGACUUUAACGCCUUCUUUCAUUCGAAUCCAUUCACGUGAGUCUCAGGUGUUUCACUUAAGUCAAACGGCAUUCCAAGACAUCAUUUCACUUAGCUUUGGUUUACACUCCGAAACGCACUCCCUCAAGUCGUUUUGAAUGUCACUGAAUUGCUUUCACUGGUUACUUUACAAAAACAUUUUAAUUAGCUUCAAUAAAUUUGUAAUUCACUUGCUCAUAGAUGUGAUCUCUCCGUUUCACCUAAAUUUUGCGCAUUGUUUGCUCAUAAUCUUUGUUUUUAACUUGAUUUUAAGAUUUUAUUUUCAAUUUUUAGCUCUUUCAUCCUGUUAUCAUUUAUUUUUCUAUAAUUAAUUUGAUUUCUCUUAGUCUGAAUAUGAAUUUAAAUUGUUUGCUUUUAGUUCUGUUCUGAGAUGUCCGCAGUUUGGAUUCGUAUUUCGGUUCAUUUUUAUCAAUAUUUUAUUACGAAACUUUUACACUCUAGUUUAUAGAAGUUUAAUUUCAAUUUGAAUUCGAUUUGUUGCUGGAAUUUUAAAUUUAAUUUCACAACAAGUAUGAUGGAAGAUUCAAUUUCUGUUCUGCCUUUGAAUCUUCAUUUUGAAUUUCUUGUACACUUUUGAGUGUUCAAGCUAAAUUAUAUGCUUCUCCAGUUCAUAAUUCGGUUCCUAAAUUUAUUAUUAUUCAUCUGGUGUUUGUAAACUCUCUGUUUGAAUUUAAUAAUUUCAUGCAUUUUUUUCCUUCUUCUUCUCAGGUCAUGCGAAAGAGUCGCUCAAAGAUGAGCCAGAAAUUCACAGCCGAUAAGCCGCCACCGUCACGGCAACCAACGGAGAAGUCAACAACUUCCUCAGGAUCCUUCUCGACAGAGGCUGGAUCGUGCCUAUCAAGCACCGCGAGCGCCGUUUCGAGCUCGCAAAGCCGCUACUGGGUUGCGGCUCGUGGGAAGCCGAGGGUUAGAAGAACUAGCAGCGGCCCGUCUCACAUUGAGCGCCGAGCCGAAGCCAUUCUGAAGCUGCUUUCUUCCCACGGCUGUUCGUCAGAAAUCAAGAUCCGUCAAGCCCUGGGUGACAGUCCCGACACUAGCAAAGCACUGAGAAUGUGCGAGUUGGCUUGGCUCUUUAUUUCGCGUUUGAUUUAAACCGUUAGAUCAUACGAAAUCUCUUUUACUAACUUGUCGAUCCGACGGUUGUUGUAGCGUGUCCAAACGAAACAGUUUAAAUUCUAACCGUCUGAUUUAUUUAUUUGCAGGUUAUUGAGGAGUGAUGAAGUCAAGAGAUAUGGCACAGGAGGACGGCAGGACCCAUAUAUUUACUAGGUAUUAAUCUCCUUAUCAUUCGUUAUCUUACUUAAUUAUAGAACUACAUGAUAUUAUUAUACACUAAUCACAGUUCUCUUUUUUUUUUUUUUUUUUCUAAUUACUAACAUAUGAAACUCUAUUGCCUGUGAAAUUCAGGGAAUUUUGUUUGUGUAUAAUUAAUCAUUUCUUUUUUUGGGAUUAAUUUAUAAUUAAUUUUGCAGAUAGCAAGUAUCUAGAACGAGCAGGACCCAGCAACACCGGGUAAUAUAUAUAUAGCGAGACUUUGCAAUUGGUAAAUAUUAAGAGUGGCAGCCAUUAAAGUUGAUUAAUAUGCUAGUAUAAUAUUAGUAUUGACAUUAGGCAGAGACGGAGACUUUAGUGAAUAUUAUUGCUAUAUGAGUGUGGCGUACGCCUACGUAGUUAAUUACAAUUUCCAAAUCUCUGCGGGUUACUGAAAAUUUAAGUGCCUUGCAUAUUAUUGCUAUUAACCCAGUUUUUCAUGCUCGCUCGAAGCAUAUUGAAUUAGAUUAUUACUUCAUUCGAGAAAAGGUUGCUGAUGGUGCCUUGGUUACGAAGUUUGUCCCUUCUUCGUUACAAAUUGCAGAUGUUUUUACUAAGGCUUUGUCAAAAGCCAUGUUCCGCAAUUUCAGAUACAAGCUUGGCGUUCAUCAAAUGUCACUUGCCAGCUUGAGCGGGGAUGUUAAGCAAGCUGACCAAGAUUACCAAAAGGAAAGUCAUCAACGGUCAAGUCAACAACGGGUUUAUCACUCCACACAACUUGCUCACAUCAAAGCUAUUUGUCAAGGAAUAUCUCCAGCACGAUUUUUGCACUUGAAUGCCAAUAUCAUGUACGAAUAUUUCAUUCCUAUUUUAUAAAGAUAUUGUGCGAUAGUUUAGGAAGUAUUCACUUAUUUUCCUUUAAUAUUAUUAAGCUUUUUAACGGCUACUUUGUCUUUAUUUUGUAUGAAUAAUUCUGUAAAUUUCAUUAAAAAUAUAGAACAAGAAUUAUACUCUUCAUAGAAUUUCUUUCACUAAAUUAAUUAAAAAUAUAGAACAAGAAUUAUCCUCUUCAUAGAAUUUCUUUCACUAAAUUCAUCAGCCUCUUGAACCCUCUCCUGAGGGCGCCUUCUAUCCUCUGUUUUCUGUUACCAUACACUAAUAGACAAAAGCAUUUAGAAUGACAACUGGGACAUAUAUAAGAGUGAAAUAAUUGAAAAAUUAUGCUUUUUUGUUUGUCAUGUUAAAAUCGUAAAGUGCAUAAGUACUAUGAAAGAGAUUAAUUUACGGAAACUGAAGCCAAGGGUUAAAAAAAAAAGGUGCAAAGAGAAUAAAGGGCAACGCUUAUGUAAAGAGACAUAAUUGUAUUGGUAGCACAAUGUCACGUUCAUACAGGGAUCAAGCAUACUAUUUACAGGUGGUAAGUGCUAAGAAUUGAUGUAGCUAGAAUCCAAAGAUGAUAAGGUAUGUUGUGCACUAUUGUUUAUUCUACAAUCAAUCUUGACCCUUGAUGCUUGGCUCUCAAUCUUGUCCAUCGAUCUUCUCUGAUCUCGAAAACUUCAAGACCUUUCAAUCUUAUGCCUUAUUAUUGGUGUCUUCCAUGCUGUAGAUUUCAAAUACAAGCUUUCCCGCCAACUUGCCAAGUAUUUGUCCAUUGGUGCAUUUUAUCAAACAGUUUGGAUACUUAUACCAAACGCCUUCUGUUUUAACUCCCCCUCUCAAGCUCAAGCAUCUGGGAAGACAUUAAUAAGCUUGUUUCUCAAGUAUAUGUAUCUGAAAAUUAAAUUUUAUAAAUUGUAUUCGGACUCUACAUUUUCUAAGGAACAUUGGUUUGGCUUAUAAGCUUAUUAUACUCAGGCUUGGUAGGAUUAUCGGUCGGUAGAUGACCGAGUGUUAGAGCUUUCGAAUUUAUGCCAAUUAAAAAAAAAUCUACAUAAGUUUUCAACUAGGCUAUUACCACAAUAAACAUUUGGAUAAACUAUUAUUGAAACCUUAUUGAGAAGUGGGACAUGUCGCAUACCAAUGCACUGACAUAUCUUCAAAUAGUGGUAACUCCACACAACAUGGCGCAACAAAUUAAGAGUUACAUAGAUAAAUUGGGUUCCCAAGAUUUCUUGAUAGACGGUUAAUGACUAUUUUGAUGUCUGUUUUGCAGACUGAUCUGCGUUUCCAGAGCCAUGCAGUGCUGGCCCUGCAGGAGGCAGCCGUGGCUUAGGGCAUCUCUAAUGUAGCACUAAACCUAACACCAAAUCACAUUUUACACCAAAAAGCUUCUCCAAUGUAACACCAAAAUGGUGUAAUGAAUAGUAUUGCACCAAAUAUGGUGCAAUACUAUUCAUUUGCACCAUAUUUGGUGCUAGGAAAAAAAAUCUCAAAUAUCCUUAUUACUUUAUAUUAUUUACAUAUAUGUCCUAUUUUAUAUAAUAUUUUAAGUUAUUAUUAUUUUUUGUUAUUUUUUAAUUUUUGAAUAUUAUACUAAUAUUUUAAAUAAAAAAUAUUCAGAACAAAAAUUUAUAAUAAAAAUAAAAUGCCAAUAACAUUAAUUACUAGAUUACAUAUUACAAAAUAAAAAAUACAAAAUUAAAUUAACACAAAUUAAGAAAACUACUACUACUGGCAUAAAUUAGAACAAUUAUUUAGUAAUGUGGGAGAUCAUUAUUAGAUCCUCCAAUAUCAUUAAAAUAUUUUUCGAUAUUAAUGUAAUGUUUAAUUUUCAUAAUGCACUUAUUAUUGUUAUUGUAUUUUCUAUAUUAAUGUAAUGUUUAAUUUUUAUAAUGUACUAAUUUAGUUAAUUAAAUGUAAAUUUAAUAAUUUUCUAUAUUUUUUUUGUUAAUCGAUAUAAAAUUAUUUAUUACUUAAUUAUCUAUAUUAAUAGUAAUAUUUAUUGUGUUUGAAUUAAUUCUUGAGAAUUAAAAGAAUAAAAAGAAGAAUAUUCUUUUUGGUGUAAAUGGGUUGGAGAUGAAAUAUUAAUUUAAUGUGAAAAAGGUACAUUUUAGGUAUUGGUGUUAUACCAAAAUAGUGUUAUGCAUUGGAGAUGGCCUUACCUCCUUAAGGACACUAACCUCUGCGCCAUUCACGCAAAGCGUGUCACUAUUAUGCCCAAGGACAUACAGCUUGCCCGUAGGAUCCGUGGCGAGCGUGCUUAAGCGCAAUUGCCGCUUGCUUCAAUUGAAUGACUGGAAAGGGAAGGGGGAAGUUGUAAUGUGUUAAUUUGUAUGUGGGGUUGGUGGGGACGGCGUCGCUUUUUCUUAGUUUUUUUUUUUCUUUUUCCUCCCUUAAAAAUGGUGAAAUUACUUAUACUGGUUUUUCUAUUUUACAUUUUGAAUAUUAUUAAUUAAUAUAAUUCAGGGAAAUUAUCAUUCGUAUACCCUAUAUUUGUUCUGUUAUCAAAAAUACUAUAACACUUUGAGGGUGUAUCAAUCGUCUACCCUUAGUUGACAAAAUGUAUCAUCCGACCACCAAACCGUUAGUUGCCGUUUGAAAGUUAACGGAAUUAUAGUGAAUUAAUGAUUUUACCCUUGAAAAUUAUCACUUGUAUACCCUUAAAUUCUUUUUUUAUCACUCGUAUACCCUUAAAUUAUUACUUGUAUCAUAUGAAAAGACCAAAUUACUCUUCUGACGUCAUCAUACUUAAACAGCAACUAAUGGUUUGGUGGUCAGCUGAUAUAUUUUGUCAACUUAGGGUGGACGAUUGAUACACCCUCAAAGUGUUGAAGUAUUUUUGAUAAUGGAGUAAACUAAGGGUAUAUAAAUGAUAAUUUUCCUAUAAUUUAAGAUAACAAUUAGGGAUAAAACAAUAAUUUUUUAUUCAAGAUCAUUUCAUCAAUAUUCUGUUAAAUAUUCUCACAAUUUAACUUUAUCCUUAACAAAAAUUUAACUUUUUUUUUAAAACUAACGGAACCAAAUCCUAUAUAUAAAUGUAUAGUAUGCAUUAAUAAAUAAAUAAAACUUUGACGACCGGAGGGAAUGAAUAAAUAAAUAGAUAAAACUUUCGAAGCUCGUGAAUGUGCUAUUUUUGUGUUUUUUAGUAAUUGUUUAAUUGAAAAAAGAAAGCUUCGGGGAUUUAUUUUUGACGGGACGGCUGAGAUUUGUCGACCUUCCAGAGAAUGAGAACAGAUUUUCAAUUUGUUGAUAAGUAUUCCUACAGUCCAGCCCAAAAGUACCGGCUCAAUGAGUUCGGUCAUGUUUGGUAACAGGUAUCCAUCACUUUCAAAAUCCGGUCCUACCAACGUAUCGGCUUUCACUGGCUGUCGUAUCAUCCGUGAAUUCAUGGGAGAGUGAGACUACUCCAAUCUCCACGCGAGAAAUUUUAGAAUAUUUUUGUUAUAUUAUAAUUAAUUAAUACAUAUAUGACAUGUGUAAUUGAGUUUAAUAUAACCACCAUUUGUAUAAUAGUUUAUAAAAUAAAUGCACACAUAUCAUGAUAUUAUUUACUUAUUGUAUGGAUAAUGAAUGCACACAUUGCAUCACUCUUUGAUAAACAAAUUCAUAAUAUAUAUUAAUCUUUGUGGAAGUUAUGUCCAAAAAAUAAAUAUUGUAAAAAAAUUUUAAUUACUAAUUUUUUGGACAUUAAUAAAAAAAAUUAAUAUAUUAACUCCUCAUGGAGUAUUCAAAACAAUUAAUAUAAAUUUUUUUGUUUCUAUUUUACUUUUUUCGGUUUAAAUUGAUAAUUUAAUUUUUCUUUUUAUUAAUGUCCAAUAAAAAAGAAAUAUUAUUGUAGGAGUGUAAUAUUGUAAAAACAAGUCAAAAAGAACAAAAAGUAACAAUAAGGGUGUCAAUACUUAACGACAAUGAUGUUUUGAGAUAUUUUUAAAAAUAUAAGAAUUAAAUAGGUAUUAAUCUCAAAAUAUAGGGAUUAAACGAGAUUUUACCCUUAUUAAUUAUAGUCAUCUUUUUAUAAAUUACAAUUGGAGGAAGUUGGCUAAUGUUGUUGACACGCACGCACGCACACAUAAAGAUUUAUUGGAAGUGCUUAUGCCGGCUCGAAGUUGUUGGGAAUUAAUGCAUGUAUUGAUUUAUUGGGAGUGUUUAAAUGAUUUUGUGAUUUACUUGAUUGAUUGAAUAUUGUUUGAUUGCUUCAUAUCCAUUCUACAAAGUUUAUUUCUUUGUGAAAUUUCAACGACAUAUUUUUUUUUAAAAAAAAUAUUAAGGGUGUUCUAAAUAAUUUUCAAAAAUAUAUGGACUAAUUAGAAUUAAUUACUAGGUAAUUAACUUGAUCUGUACAGGGUGAAACAAUAUUUAUCCUAAUUGUAUCAUGACAAAUACUUUUCCGAUUAGAAUUAGGAAACCAUAAGUUUAUUGAAUUAUUUUUUUUUAUUUUCCUUUGGAGAAACGGAUUAGAGAAUUAGAAAACAAUCCUAAUGAUAUAAUUAUCAGGUUUAAAACAGUGCAUAAACAGUGAAAAGCUAAUUAGUCUGUAGAGUAAUUUGCUAAUUGUUAUCUCCUCUCUAUGCGCGCUGAAUAAUUUGUUGCAUGCAAACUUUUUAUUUUAUGCAAAUCGUACUUACUGUAACAUUGGAAUUGAUGUAUAAGCAAAAUUACAAUAAUAUUUAUGUCAAUAAAAAUAGUUUUUUUUUUCCUUUUUAAAUAAAGGAGAGCAACGGGAUGUUGCUCUGCUCUACAUUUUUGCUAUCAUUUUAUUCUUUUUUUUUUUUUUUUUUGGCUUCUUAAAGCCUCAAACUUUGAUAACCAAAACUUCACCGACCUCUGAAAAAAUCGGCAGAUUAGUUUUUAUUAUCGGAAUAAUUGUUUGAGAAUACUAAAACAAAAUAUAAAAUAAGAAAAUAUGGGGUUAAAUUUGGGGAAAACAAAAAAAUCCAAUUGGGAAUUUUUUUUCUUUAAUUUUUGUUUUACUUGAUUGAGAUUUCUCCUUAGUUCUUACAGUUUUAAGUUUGGAUGCCGUAGGGUUAGUAAUUUAGUACUUCCUUUGCAAGCUGAGUGCGAGAACGAAAAUCUUUAAAGAAAUUAAAAAAGAUUAAAAAAAAGCAUACCAAUAGGUAAUUAUAAAUAACCAUAAAUAAACAUAAACAAAAUGUUUAUGAAGUAAAUUACACAUGCACAUAUUAUUUUCUUGUUUUAUUUCUUACUUGUCUAUUUUAUUUGCUGCUUGAUAACCCUUAAAUACUAAUCUAGUACUGCUAAUUUCAGACACAAAAUUUUUAACUCUAGGCUGCAGUUUUACUCAAAAUGAUGACCGCUGGCUUCGCACCAUUUAACCGGCAUACAUUUCUACAAAUUGAACAAGGCUAUUGAUUUUCAUUAUUAUUUUUUUAUUUAUUUAUAAAUUACUAUUUUAAUUUUCACUUUUUAUUGGGUUGUUUAACGGAUUAGUGAAGUUGGUGGUCGUGAUGCACUCACAAGGUACAAUUUUAUUUUAUAAUUUCAAAUUUGUAUUUUAAAAUGCAGGUACAUUAUGUAUACAUAAUUAUUGAUUUUCGUAUGUGGGUGUUUUGUAAUAUUGCUAAAAGACCAAACUUUAAUAAACUAUUUUUCAUCUUUUUUUUCCUUUUUUCCUAAAGUUUGAGUGAUAUCCGCAUUUUAAAUUCAUGUGGAACAAAAGCUAAUGUAUGCACAAAAUUCUUUUAUUUUUUCGGAGAAAAAUGGGUAAGAGAAGAAGAUUUUUCUCUUGCAAAAGAAAAACUAAUACGAUGCAAGCAUAGGAAAGAGGUCAGUGUUUUGGAUUAGAAUUUAGUAUUGAACUGAAUUUUAUACUAAAUAGUACUGCGAUUAAUAAACUCAUGAUUUGCUUUUGUUUUUACUUCAAGUGAAAGAAAGAGGAAACCUUUUGUUUUUUGUUUGAUUCUUGACUAUAGAUGUUACCUAUAUACAGAGUUGAGGUAGCUACCUUAAGUGAUGGUGAUAAAAAGAUUAAGCAGCGCACACAAUCUUAUUGUCGUCCAGACCAUCGAGCUGUGAUGACUCUAGCUUUUUGGUUACAUUAGCUUUAGUGGAAAGGAGGGCCAAUUUAAUAAAGACUAGAUUUGGUGGCUUACUAUAAUGCUUAUUCUCAGGGAAUCUAAUGUUAUAAGAUGAUUUAAUGAUCUUCUAUGAUUGUGAGUAGUAUAGUAUAAUUGAAAAGAGCCUGGGCUCCUAUGAUGAAUAUAUAAUAGUAACACAGUACUGUGAUUGAAAAAAACACAGUUACAAUAAACUCUUCAUUUAUUCAUUGCGGAGAUUGAAUGGCAAACAGAGAAUAAAAUGAAGUAGAGGGAUCUCAUUGCCAGUAAAAUUGACCCUCUUUAAUGUUAUAUGGCACAGGUGUGUGUACAGCAAGAGCAAGUUACUUGCAGUUUUUAUUGUAAAAUAUACAGGUUAUGACCAUGAUCAUUGUAGUUAGGUUUUGAUGAUUUUAGAUGCUUUUUUUUAUUUUUUUUAAAUUGUGACACCUUUGAUUUAUGGUAGUUUUGCAGAAGAAAAAAAUAUAUAUAAAAAUUAGGAGGGAUGAGUUAACUAACAAUUGCAAUCAUUGCAGUAAUGUUGAUGAGUGAUACAUCAUUUUAAAUUUACUUGUCAGUUGCUGAAAUGAUGAAAAAAAAACAAUAAACAAUAGCAGUAAUAUUUUUAUGGAAAUUCUUGGUUUUUAUGGAAAUACUCUUGCUGAAAUUCUAAGUUUGACUUUCAACUCUUGGUUUUUAUGGAAAGUAAAAUGACUUGUUUGUUAUAUUCAUACAACCCACUCUACAUAAUGAUUUCAUUUUAAUAAAUGGUUGAUGAUCUCCACAGAAAAACUACUUCAAUUCUUUUUUUUUUAUUUAACUUUUUGGUUGUUGAAAAUAGCCUUAAUUUUCAAAUCAUUGGAGAAAGAGUAAAGAACAUUUAACAAAUUUAUGUGCCAAAAAUAAAGGAGAAAUUGAAGAGAAAGGGUGCUUGCAGAAGUGGGUGCAAAGAUAAAUCAGUCCAUAAGAAUUAUUGUGGUUAUUAAUUUUUUGGCAAUAUAAAAAUUUUUCAGCAAAUAAAAAUAGAUUUUUUCUGAUUUACUAAAAAAUUAAUUAAAAACUUCGGCGAUAGCAUUUUUUAUGGGUGCAUGUACCCUCCCUUUAAAAAAAAUAUAAUAAUUAAUACUUAAUAUAGUAUUAAAUACGAAAAUAUCAAUAUUUGACUACACAAAUUUAUAUCAUUAGGUCCUUAAAAUUUAAAAUUGAAGACACAAAAUGAAAUUUAUAUAAAUUUCAUUCUCAUAGGAAAGGAUCCUCUUAUAAUCUUAAAAUAUUUGAGCUUUGAAAGAUUUUUUAAAACAAAUGUACUUUUAUUUUUGUACAAUCAAUAUUUACUUAUAUAUUAUAUUUUUAUUUAUUACACUACUAGAAAAAUGGUCUUUUGUGACACUUGUCUUCUGACACUUUAUUAUAAAGUAUCAGUAAUUAGAUGUAUUUGGGGCAUUUUCCGUGUUUAACAUAUAAGUAUCACAAAUUGCUAAUACUAUGGUGUCAGUAAAUUUAAUAUCACAGAUUCGUGACACUAAAGUAUUAGUAGUUAAAAAAAUAAAAUUUUAAUUUUGUAUCUAGUAAUAAUCGAACCGAAGCCCCCUAAGCCAUAACCUUUUGAUUUUAACCGCUACACCACUCGGCCACAAAUUGCAUUUUUGAACUUAUAAAUUAAUAAAUAAAUAAAUAUUAAAACUUAAAACCUAAAACCUAAAAAAUUUUCAUGUAUGGUAUGUGUGAAACGUAAAACCUAAAAAUUUUUGUUAAGUCAAAAAUCUAUCUUAUGGCCGCCGAAGCUUUCUUCCUUCUCUCUCCUUCCCUCUCUCUCGCUCUCUUUCUCUCUCGAACAAUGAUCUACCUUGAAAGCCACCUCCGUCAACACCUUGAAAGCCGCCGUCCUUAAGCUAAAAUAUCCCUGAAAAGAACCCAGAAAGUGCUAUGAAGAAUUUGGGCAAAGCUAAGGUUAAUUUGAAAGUCCGAAUCAGUGUUGUGGUAACUCUUUGCCUCAUUCUCUAUUCUCAUUGUUUAAGUAUUUAUCUGUUAAUUGAUUGAUGUUUAUUGAGUGCAAAUGAGAGCUUGCACUUGUUUGGAAAUCUAGCCAUCUAGGGUUUUUGUUGCUUAUAAUCUAAUUUAUUGUUUAAUAAAAUAAAUAAAACUCAGCUUUAUUAUAGGUGGAAUUCAGUUUAUUAAGUGAAAGAAUGAUUACAAUUGGUGAUUAUGGAUUUAGGUUGAAUGCAAUUUGUUAAUUAAAAGAAUAAUGGCAAUCAACAGUCAUGGAUUUAGUAUGUAUUAUAUAUUUCGUUUAAUGGUGUGUAUGAAAACCCAAAACCUAAAAUUUUCUUAAGUAAAAAUCUCAGUUCUCCCUCACAACCUAUAAGCCCAUCACUCUCUCUCUCUCUCUCCCCCCUCUUUCUAGCUAACAACCCAAAACGUAUUGUGAAACCGCCAUUUCAAUCUUUCAAAGCUCAUUAGUUAGCUGGUCAUUGUGAAAAGUAAGGUUAUUGUUUGCUUUUAUGUCUAAUUUUACUUUAAACAUGGGGAUUGAUGAUAUUCGAGUUGCUGAACACUUGAUUUUGAGGUGAAAGAUUAAUUAAUAGUUUACGAAAUUAUGCUGAAAAUUUGAGGAUUGAUAGACUGUUGUUGUGAACUUGGUUGUUUCCGAACUUGACUAAAUGACUUUCAAUUGAUUUGAAAGUUUGAUUAAACUAAGUUUAAAUGAGAACAUUUUAAUUCUGGAAAUUUUGGAAUGAAUUGGGUUUAUAUUUGAUUUUGAAUGGAUUUCUCAAUAUGGUUGGUUGUUGUCCAAUUUUAUUAGAAAUUACAUAUGUACCAUGUUUGAUAUUGCAAACGUAUAGUCUAACAUAGUUAGAAUAAGUUGAAAUUCGGAUAGACUACAAUUCUAUUUGCAUACUUCGAAUCUGGAAAAUUUUAUUUUGAUUGAACCUGUAAUUUAUUUUUAAUGAUUUUUCAAACUCUGCUGCCUCUGCAGUAACUUCUUUUGACAUAAAUGUUCAUUAAUAUUUGAUCCUAUCAAACACCAGCCUAAUGAUAUCGGAAUAGCCUCAAAUUUUAAUAUGUUGUUGACUUAUAUGUCCACUUAAACUCUGGAAAGUAUCAUUCUAAUAUAUUUAGUAUUUUAAAUUUAAUAAAUAUUCAAACACCUGCUGCUACUUUUACAGUUUCAUAUGCAAUUUUAACUUAUAUAGUUUUAUCAUGUGAGAAGCAAAUGUAUGGUUGUCCAAAUGACUUGGAAAUUUUUUUUGUGGUGCAUUGAAAUGUCUAAUUAUGUUUUGUAAGUUUCAUAGCAUUCCAAAUUGAAUUAAAGAAAAUCUUAAAUUCAAGUUGUCAAUUUUUCCUAUUAAAUCUGAUUAGUGAUAAAUCUACUAACUUGCAGUACUUUUCAGGAAAAAAAAUGUGUCAACGCUGUGAAUUGCAAUGGGAGAAGAAAGUACUAAAGGCAUAAAUCUUUUUUCAUUAUAUUUGGGACUAUUCUUAAAGGUUAGUCUUUUCCUUUUUCCUUUUUUUCUUUUUUAUUUAAGGUAAUCAUAUUCAUUUUAAUUUUAAUUACAAUCAAUUUUGCGUUGUUAGACAACUUGCACCAACCAAUCCAACAACAAAUGAAGAUAACAUUUUUGAAAUGCAUUCAAUUUUUUAAAAUAGCAAAAAGAAAAGGAAAAAUGAUACUAGUUUAGGCUUUAGGAAAUUUGCAUCAUCAUUCUUGCACUGCAGCUGCCUCUAUCUCGGUGCUCUCGGAGAAGUAAUCUUGCUUGAUUUUGCGUGAUAGUUGAUACAAGCCCGUCCUAGCCAUUGCAAAAUUGACACUAAAAAGGUUCCAGUUUUUCAUAUUGUAGUUUGAAAAGUCUGCAAUGUUUGCUAUGCUGAUGCCCCAUUUGAAUGUUGGAGCCCAAAAAUGAAUGGUUUUAGGACUAGCCGGGUGGUUCCAGAAAGCUAGGAGCUUGUUAGCUAUUCUUUUUAAUUGAACUAAUUUAACUUAAAUAUUAGCCCGAUUAUUGAUUUCUAUGGUUUGCCAUUGAUUUGAGUUUGACAUUCUUGUUUUGUGUUGGUUUGAGUUUGACAUCCUAGUUUAAGACUUUGAAGGCUUCCAAGAAAUGAUUUUGGAUUAUGAGCAAAUGAGUAAUAGUUUGAAAAUUAAUUUACUCUAUCAAAUAUAUACUUAGUGUAGCAUAUUAAUUUUAAGAACUAUGGAUCAUUCCUUGAAUAUUCUAGUAAAUGUUUAUGUUAUAUAUGCAUGUCUUAAUAUAUAAUAAUUAUAUUUUGAAGUUUGUUUUUUUUUCCCCCUUUCUAGGUUUAGGAAAAAUGUUUAAAGUGAUUUUGGGUUAUGAUGUCAAUCAAGUUAAAGCAACAUUACUUGUGAGUGGAAAUAUAUAAUGAUUAUAUUUUUAUUCUACUUUUUUUUCUUCUUAAAGUUUUAUAAUUAGGCAAAAUUAAUGAAUACUUAAUUACAAUUUAGGGUGAUAUUCUUUAAAUGGUUCACAUGAAUAGAUUUAAGUAGUAUAAUAAAUCUCAUACUCACUUUAUAAAGGCUUAACUAAGUUUGCAAAUAUUAUUUCUUUUAGUAGUAAUAAUUUUGGAUUGAACUCUCAAAUUAUUGAAAUAUUUUAUGUCCAAACUUUAUUAUGCCUAAUAUAAAUAUGGAGAUUCAUAGUUAUUUUAUGCCCAGUUUAAGGAAACUGCAGUUUGAGGAAUUAUUUUUUGCCUUGUUAAAUAAGCUUUUAAAAUGAAUAAAUUGAGGAAAUGAGUGGUGAUUUAUUUAUAAUAGAGCAUUUGUGAUAGCUUUUAACUAUGCACAAAAAUCAUUUUGUAUAUGUAGAUAGAGUAACAUGCUUGUGCUGAAAGUAGAUAUUACAUUGAAAACUUCUUGUCUACUAUAGUUUGCUAUAUAUAUAACCUUUACCAAAAGAGAAUAAUUGAGUUUAUUUAUAAAUAGCUUAUGAGGAUUUUUUUUUCUUUCGAACAAAAUAAUUUUAUUUAUGUUAAUUGUUGUUUCUCUAAUGGCUGGAUAUUGGCAGCUAAUUUUUUUUUCUUUUCCAUGUAUUCAUAUGCAGAUUUGAUCAAUGUGUUUGAAGUGUUUAUUCUUCAACUUCACUUAUAUCCUAACCCAUACAGUCUAUUGAAUGGAGAAGCUGCUGAUGUGAUAACGCAAUUAUACUACUCAUAUUCAAAGAGUGAAAGACAGUCAUCCUUCUCAAUUUAGCUUCUCGAUUUAUUAAAUUUAGCCACAAGUAGUAGGCAUUUGAUUGGAUGGUAGAAAUUUUUAUGUAUUGAAUUUGGAUUAUUGAGUUAUGAGAGUAGGAUAUCUCAUAUUUUUGUUAUUGAAGUUUUGAAAUUUGUAAUAUAUACUAAUAAUAUUUAAAUGUGAAAUGAAAGAUUUUGUGAUAUAAAUCAAUUUCUUUUUGUUAUUUUGUGGUGCCUUUUAAUUUUACCAAUAAAUCAAUAGGCAAUGAUCCAAUUCAUUUUUUAAAAAAAUAAAUUAACUAGUGAUACUAUGGUAACAGUAAUCAUAGACACUAAUAAAAUAUCAAUAACUACUAACAUUAUGGUGUCAUAAUAUCGGUGAUACUGUAGUAAUAGUAAUCACUGACACCACUUACAAGUGUCACUAUUUUUCUGAAUCCCAGAUUACUGGCACAAUUAACAAGUGUCAGUGACAGUAAUUUCUGACACUAUUCUAAAGUCAGUAAAGACCAUUUUUCUAGUAAUGUUAACUAUCAAUCAUGUGAGUAUAUUUACUCAGAAAUAUCAUAUCAAUAGAGAAUCUUGAUCCCACGCACACGCAAAUAUGUUAAUUUCUAUACGCUUCACUUAACCUAUAGAAUCAAUUAUCUAAAAUGCAAGUUUGUGGCCACAAAAAAAGCCAAAGAAAGAAGAUAACAACAAUUGACUUGUCUAUUAUACUCAUACUAUCCUCUCGACAUAAUGAUAUCAUUUUAAUAAGGCAAUGGCUGAUGAUCUCCGUUGAAAAACUAAUUCAAUUUUUUUGCUUCAUUUAACUUUUUGGUUGUUGAAAAUAAGCUUAAUUAUCAAAUAAUUGGAGAAAGAGUAAAGAACAUUUAACAAAUUUAUGUGCCAAAAAAAAAAAAAAAAGAAGUUGAAGAGAAAGGGUGCUUGCAGAAGUGGGUGUCAAAGAUAAAUCGGUCCAUAAGAAUUAUUGCGGUUAUUUUUUGGCAAUGUAAAAUUUUUAUAGCAAGUAAAAAUUAUUUUUUUUCCGAUUUACUAAAAAAUUAACUAAAAACUUCUGUGUCAGCAUUUUUUAUGGGUGCAUAUACCCUCCCUUUAAAAUAAAUAAUAAUUAAUGCUUAAUAUAAUAUUAAAUACGAAAAUAUCAAUAUUUGACUACUCAAAUUUAUAUCAUUAGGUCCUUAAAAUUUAAAAUUGAAGAUACGAAAGGAAACAUAUAUAAAUUUCAUUCUCAUGGAAAUGAUUCUCUUAUAAUCUUAUAAUAUUUGAGUUUUGAAAUUUUUUUUGAAACAAAUGUAAUUUUAUUUGUGUACAAUCAAUAUUUACUUAUUUAUUAUAUUUUAAUUUAUUAACUAUCAAUCAUGUAAGUAUAUUUAGUCAGAAAAAUUAUAUCAAGAGAGAAUCCUAAUUUCACGCAAACACAAAUACAAGACAAAUAUGUCAAUUUCUAUACUAUUCACUUUCCUGUAGAAUCAAUUAUCUAAAGUGCAAGUUUGUGGCUACAGAAAACUCGCCAAAGAAAGAAGAUAAUAACAAUUGAGCAUUGAUAGCAAAACUAAUGCAUCAUUUUCUUCUUGACUUGAUAAGAUGGCGCCAUUACAAAAAAACAAGUACCUUAAUUGAUACUACUGGCCAGUUCAUCUCUUCCAGUCUUGCUUAGUUACAAUCACAAACACCACGAGAACGACAUUUGCAUUAUAUAUAUCUUCAGCAGUCGAAACACCUUGCAUUACCAAAUAAACCAGUAACAAACAAAGCAAUCUUUCCUGGAGACGAACCUUAGUCUCAGUAUGAUCACUGUGUCAUUAACCCACUGCCUGCUUCUUUGCUUGGUUGUUGCAGCAGCAGCAGCAGCAAGCAGCAAUAUUACCACAGACCAACAAGCUCUUCUUGCCCUGAAAGAUCAUAUAACUUAUGAUCCGACCAACCUUUUAGCCCAUAAUUGGACCUCGAAUACCCCUGUUUGUACCUGGAUUGGCAUCACUUGUGAUGUCAAUAGCCGUAGAGUCACAGCCUUAGAUAUUUCUCAAUUCAAUCUACAAGGCACCAUCCCUCCUCAACUCGGAAACCUCUCUUCGCUCGCAACGCUUAAUCUUAGUCAUAACAAGCUUUCUGGAGACGUUCCAUCCUCCAUCUACACCAUGCAUUCGCUAAAAUUUCUUGACUUCACUGAUAACCAGCUCUCUGGUUCAGUGUCUUCCUUCGUCUUCAACAUGUCUUCAAUAUUAGACAUUCGUUUGACCAAUAACAGACUUUCUGGUCAGCUUCCGAAAAAUAUUUGCAACUAUCUUCCUCAUUUGAAAGCCCUUUUUUUGGACAAAAACAUGUUUCAUAGCAAAAUUCCUUCUGCUUUAUCAAAGUGCAAACAACUGCAACAAUUAAAUUUGCAGUUCAAUAAUUUAUCCGGUGCAAUACCAAAAGAAAUCGGCAACUUGACUAUGCUCAAAGGGAUAUAUCUCCUCUACAACAAACUCCACGGUAUGUUCACAAUCCUAUAUAAAUAUUUUAAUUUAUCACUUAUUAUCUUUCUUGAAUAAUAUAGAUAAGAUUUUGUAAGAGAGAUUUUUUGCAUCUAUAUUAAUUUUCCAGGUGAGAUACCGCACGAAAUCGCUAAUCUUCCAAAUCUAGAGGCUUUAGUACUUGGAAUCAACAACCUAGUUGGUGUGUUACCAGCUCCCAUCUUCAACAUGUCAACACUGAAGGUACUUAUCCUCAUAAAUAACUCUCUCUCCGGAAGUCUUCCAUCAAGAAUAGACCUUUCACUUCCAACUAUUGAGCAUCUUAACUUGGGACUUAAUAGAUUUUCUGGAACCAUUCCUAGUUCCAUCACCAAUGCUUCUAAGCUCACCUUGCUAGAAUUGGGAGGAAACACAUUUUUGGGAUUUAUUCCAAACACAAUUGGUAAUUUAAGAAACCUUGAGUGGCUCGGCUUGGCUUUUAACUACUUGACAUCUUCAACCUCAAAAUUGAGCUUUCUUUCCUCUUUGGCAAAUUGCAAGAAAUUAAGAGUCAUAAACUUAGCAGGCAAUCCACUUGACGGCUUCCUUCCAAGUUCAAUAGGAAAUCUUUCUAAGUCCUUGGAAACACUUGUCAUCACCAAUUGCAGUAUUAGUGGCAACAUUCCUCCAGCAAUUGGCAAUUUAAGCAACUUGUUGGGCUUAGUAUUAGAAGGCAAUAAAUUGACUUGACCAAUUCCAAUUACAUUCGGCCGACUGCAGAAACUCCAAAACUUAGAUCUCGCAUUCAAUAAGUUGGUAGGUUCAUUCCCAGAUGAGCUUUGCCAUCUAGCAAGGCUGGGUCAAUUGGUCUUAUUUGGCAAUAAGCUUUCAGGAUCUAUACCUUCAUGCCUAAGUAAUCUCACUUCUCUAAGAUCUCUCUAUUUAGGGUCCAAUAGGUUUACUUCUGUUAUUCCCUCAACUUUCUGGAGCUUAAAAGACAUCUUGUUCGUUGACUUUUCAUCAAAUUUCUUGGUUGGUCCUCUUUCUUUAGAUAUAGGAAAUUUGAAGGUGCUUGUAAGAAUAGAUUUAUCAAAAAAUAACUUAUCCGGUGAUAUCCCAGCCACAAUUGGAGGUCUAAAAGGUCUUCAAAUUAUGGACAUAGCAUAUAAUAGAUUGGAAGGCCCAAUUCCUGAAUCAUUUGGUGACUUGAUAAGUUUAGAAGUUUUGAAUUUGUCAAAUAAUAAAAUCUCUGGGUCUAUUCCAACAUCCAUGGAGAAACUGUUUUUCCUCCAAGUGUUAAAUCUCUCUUUCAAUAAACUAGAAGGUGAGAUUCCUAGUGGAGGAAUUUUUGCCAACUUCACAGCUGAGUCAUUUAUGGGAAAUGAGUUAUUGUGUGGUUUACCAAAUCUUCAAGUCCAACCAUGCAAAGUUAGCAAGCCGAGGACAGAACAUAAAUCAAGGAAAAAGAUACUUCUCAUUGUGAUUGUUUUGCCAUUGAGUAUUGCUCUAACGAUAGCAAUCACUCUAGCUCUCAAAUCUAAGCUGAUCGAAUGUGGAAAAAGAAGCACAGUGUUGUCAAACGAUAGUGUCUUGUCAUCACAAGCAACACUAAGAAGAUUUUCAUACUUAGAACUUUUACAAGCAACAGAUAAUUUUGCUGAAAACAACAUAAUUGGCAUAGGAGGUUUUGGUUCUGUUUAUAGAGCAAGACUUGAAGAUGGGAUGAAGAUUGCAAUAAAAGUGUUUCACCAGCAAUGUGCAAGCGCAUUGAAAAGUUUUGAGGCUGAAUGUGAAGUGUUAAAAAAAAUUCGCCAUCGAAACCUUAUCAAAGUUAUCAGCAGUUGCUCGAACGAUGAUUUCAAAGCAUUAGUCCUAGAAUACAUGUCCAAUGGGAGCUUGGGGGAUUGGCUGCAUUCUAGCAAUUAUGUGCUGAAUAUAUUUCAAAGGUUGAACAUAAUGAUUGACGUUGCAUCAGCUUUAGAAUAUCUCCACUUCGAUCAUUCAACUCCUAUUAUUCAUUGUGACUUAAAGCCUAGUAAUGUAUUGUUGGACGAACAUAUGGUUGCUCAUUUGAGUGAUUUUGGCAUAGCAAAGCUUUUAAGUGGAGAAGAUGAGUCAACGAUGCGAACAAAAACCCUUGCCACUAUAGGUUAUAUGGCACCAGGUUUGCUUCAAACAACUUUUGUUGUUAGUUCAUUUUAAAUUUUCCAACUUAUUGAUUUUUACGAUCCUCACAUCAAAAUGUUAUUGAUUAUUUAUCUAAUUGUGAAAUUAAUUUGAUUCAUAGAGUACGGCAUAGAAGGAGAAGUAUCUACAAAAAGUGAUGUUUACAGCUAUGGGAUUAUGUUGAUGGAAACUUUUACCAAGAAAAAACCCACAGAUGAAAUUUUUGUCGGAGAAUUGAGCUUAAAGCGUUGGGUUAAUGACUUGCUUCCUACUUCAUUAGUGGAAGUUGUGGACAAAACUCUGCUAAGUGGAGAGGAAAAACAUUCUGCAGCAAAGGAGCAAUGUCUGUUGUCUAUCUUUAGCUUGGCUCUGGAGUGUACAAUGGAAUCACCGGAAAAGAGGAUUAAUGCAAAAGAUAUUGUUACCGGAUUACUCAAGAUAAGAGACGCAUUGGGUAAAAGGAUAGGAAAUUUAAGUUAAUUUCGUUUGCUUUCAUUGAUAGUUAAUCUGAAUUCAUGUAAUAAGUGUAGGAAUCUUAUAUCUUUUCCUUUGAUAUUUUUUUUUUCUUGAGAAAACUGUUGUAGUCAUCUUGUUUCCAUGGGCGGAGUUGACUUAGUUCUUCCAAGAAAUGCUACUGAUGAUCUUUGUUAUAUACUUUCUCUUUUUUUUGCAUGCGUUUAGGUAGAAUAGUGGUCUAGCUGCAGGCUAAUAUGUCAAGCUACGCCAAAAGCGUAUGAUUUAAUUUACUAAACAUAACUUCAAGUUCAAGAAGUGUUUUUCACUGCCACCAAUGCUUUGGACACCUGUUGGAAGGUUUGUUGUCCUCAGCUUUUGUUUAGAGCAAAAGUUCGAGUCCCAUAAAGGCUCACACAUUCCUUUCCUUCAUCGCGAGGUGAAGAAAUUAGAAUGACAACUGGGACAUAUAUAAGAGUGAAAUAAUUAAAAAAUUAUGCUUUUUUGUUUCACCGAAGUACUGUGAAAGAGAUUAAUUUACAGAAACUGAAGCCAAGGGUUCAAAAAAAAAGUGCAAAGAGAAUAAUUGUAUUAGUAGCACAAUGUCAUAGAGAGAUCAAUUAUAUUAUUUACGGCUGGUAAGGACUAAGAAUUGAUGUAGCUAGAAUGCGAAGAUGAUAAGGUAUGUUGUGCACUAUUGUUUUAUUCUAUAAUCAAUCUUGACCCUUGAUGCUUGGCUCUCAAUCUUGUCCAUUGAUCUUCUCUGAUUUUGGAGACUUGAAGACCUUUCAGUAUCAUGCCUUGUUGUUGGUGUCUUCCAUGCUGUAGAACCGCCGACUUGCCAAGUAUUUGUUCAUUGACGCAUUUUAUCAAACAGUUGGCCUGCUCAUAGCAAAUAGCUCCUCUUUUAGAGCUUUCGAAUUCAUGCCAAUUAAUUUUCAACUAGGCUAUUACCACAAUAAACAUUUAGAAAUCUAAAUUUGUUCAUUAUAUAUUCUGAUCAUCACUUGAACAUCCAUGCAGACUCCUAUUAAUUAUAUCCUCUAAUGGAGAGAACUCAUUGCCUCAGUAUGAUCACUGUGUCAUCAACCCACUGCCCGCUUCUUUGCUUGGUUGUUGCAGCAAGCAACAAUAUUACCACAGAUCAACAAUAGUUUGUCCAUUUUUUUCAGUAAGGUCGUCAUUAAAAAUUAAUUUUCAUAUUGAUUUUCUUAAUUAUAAAUAAUACUAAUGAUAUUUCAUAGUUAUAAAUAUAUUAGAAUUAAUCAAAAUCAUUUUUUAGUGCGGCAUGGCUAAAACUACCUUUUUUUUUUUUUUUAUAAGUAAUUACUACUUUAAGGAAAAUACUCGUAUUUUCAGGAAAAAGUCAAGUACCCGUAGUUGUGAAGACUCGAGCUCACCCUCUUAUGAUAAAUCUUCAUAUCAAUUACAUAAAUAUCCUCUAAAUGUUUAGUUAACUAUUCAAAAUUCGAUGUUAUAUGGGUAUUUCAUUUAUUUGAGUAGGGGUUAGGGGUCAAUUGGAUACAAAUUCAAAAUUAUCCUUACUUGAGAAGGUGAUAAACAUUGGGGAUUUAGUUUGGGUGUCAUUAGCUACAAAUAUUAAACUCAUACAUCUAAUUCAAAAUUGCAUCCAGGUUCAUUGCAGCUAAGGCUUGUGGAAUUUCAUCAGUAAGAUGUGAGUAGUCAUACCUACGUCGACAUUCAAUGGCUGUAUGUUUCUGUAAAUGACAAAUUUGGCAUAUGACAGUUUCUUCAUUGACUUCCUCAGCUUGUUGUUUGGAUUGAUUCUGAAUUUUGUGCCAAGGCUGUCCAGAAUUAUUUUGUCGAGGUUGCUGCCACUGUUGUCCCGAAUUUCCUUGCCAUGAUUGUUGCCCUUGUUGACUUGGAUUAUUGUUUGAUUUUUGCCAUGGCUGACUUGCAUUAUUAUUCCAACUUUUUCCACCAUUGUAGUUGAUUUUUUGACCACUUGAAUCAGCCAAAUUUUGUCCUCCUGCUGCUGUAAAACCACGACCUUUUGAGUUAAAGAAACCUCCAUUUCCACGACCUUUUCCCUUGCCUCAUUGGCUAAAAAAGGCUUGAGCCAGAUUGAUUGUAUUCUUCUUUUCUUCUUCAAAAUUAAUAAGAGUUUGUUCAUGAUUUUCGAGGGCCAUGACAAACUGCUUAAAUGAGGGAUAAGGUGGUUUCGAAAGUUGAGCAAGUUUGAAGUCUUGAUACCUGUAGCCAAGACCUCUUGCAAGACCAAAGACUUCAUCUAAGUCAUUCACUGGCUUAUUUAUUGCAGCCAAACAAUCACAGAUAUGCUUGUAUUUGCGCACAUACUCUUCAACUGAUAGAGAUCCCUUUUUAAACCGAGAGAAUUACUAUAUUUACACAAUUAACCUUGGCUAGAAUUAAUUGUGCAGAUUGGAUGAUAACUAGAGAAUAGAAAUGAAGAAAAGGAAGCACACAACACCGAGAAGAGUAAUAAUUAAUGCUGCCAUUGACGAAAUGUUUUAUAUUACUCUUCUUUCUUGGUAUUUAUUUAUUUACAAUUUUUAAUGUAAAUGUACAGUUGUUGGGCUAAUAUCUUAUUUACUUUUGAACGUAUUAGAUGCCUUUUUUUUUCUUGGUUCAUAAUAAUUUUGUAGAAAUUCCUCAAGUUUGCCUAAAUGAUAGCACAUAUUCAUAAUUGGAUUGAUUGAGUAAUAAUAAAAUAUAUUUAUUUGGCAAAUGGCAGUUAGGCUUUCUUUUGAUGCAGAUUAAUUAGAGAGAAUAUAUAACAAUUUUAAGCUCGUCAGAUUCGGAAGCUGCUUAUCUGUCGUGUGGGGAUCACUUCCGUGUCUUAUUUUUCUAGAAAAAUCUGGACCAUUGGAUUUCCCAUUAUUCAAUAGAUAAAUGUUUGAUCUUGAUUCUUGAUUAAGAUCGAAGUUUGAUUCUAACCAACAUGAUGUCAGAUUCAGAUUGCGAAGCAAGCAAAUUGAAAGUAACUUGUUCUAUUUUGAUAAACACAAGUUCUAAUAAAACAUUCUCAUAGUAAAGUGAAUUACCAUCCAACGAUCCAACUCAUGUUUUCAAAUUGUAAAUUGCAAAUCGUGCGUUUGCUCCAUUACAGCGUUUCUUCAAUCUGAAAUAGAGAAUCAUUUGUGUUUUGGAUUAAUCGUGGGUCUAUAUCCAAAUCUAAAAAUUGACUAAUUUAAUUUCUAUUAAAUUCUUAAUCCUAACAAGAAAAAUUGAAGAUUAAAAACGACUAAUUUGGUACCAUACCACUAUUGUAACAUAGGUAGAUCCUCUAUUAAUUGGAGUAAAGAUUGAAUUAUCUCAUUUAUUAAGGUUUAUCAAAAUCUUGUGUCAAAAUCUAUUAAUGAUAUAGGUUCAAGGAUGAAAGAGUCACUUCAUUACUUUUGAGUUCCCAAAUAGAUGAAUGGAUGUUAUUUUUGGAUUCCGGAGAGUCGAAAAUAUUAGGAUAGGUGCUAAAUCGAAUUAAGUUGUAGAUAAGAUAGAAAUGGAUUUGGAGAGAUUGGAAUCCUAGGUAAUCCGGUGCACGUUGUCGUGUUAAAUUCUCGUUGACUUCACGUUGACUGAAGCAUUAUUGGAAGAAACAAGUUUAUUGAUGUGAGGCCUUUGAGAUUGUAAGUGUUAAAUCUGAGAAGAAUACCCACACAACCAUUAUCCUAUUACUCUUAUAUCACGUGAAGAGAAUUCAACAUUUGAUUCACACGGAAAAAAUUUGUGAGGAUUGUGAGGGUUGAUGCAAUAUAAUUUAGAUACAAAGUGUUUACCAGUGCGAUGCUUCGCAAGUGUUCUUGAAUCAAUAUAAACUCACGUUAUUUUCAUAGUGAUUGUUUCAUCUGCACGUGGAUAUAAUCACAUGUCGAGAUUUUUUUUUCUUAAAUUAUGGUCUUAUUUAGUAUUGCGGUGUUAUAUCUUUUAAGGUACAAUUAUUGUUGGAAAAAAGUUGCAACUAUUAAAUAAAAUUAAUACUAUGUGCUAAAUAUAAUUGUUAAAUAAUAAUUUUGACAAAAUUAGUGAAGUUAUGUAGAUUUUUUUUCAUCAUACAAGUAUAAAAUCAAAUCAACUUAACUUCUAAGUUCUAUAUCAGCUACUGUUUAUCAUAUGUUUUAGUUCUGUAACUUUUAAGUUAUAGUUACCCAACCUCAAUUCUAAACCAGACCUAUAAAGAUCAAAGAUUUCCUCAUUAAAUUAUAUGUCUUGUGAUUGCUUAUUUAAUUUAUAUUUUUUUUAUUUAUCUUUAUUAAUUAUAAUCAUCUUUUUAUAAAUUAAAAUUGAAGGAAGUUGAUUGAUGUUGUUGACACACACACACACACACGCACGCACGCACGCACUCACAAAGAUCACCACAAGAAAAUAGAGUAUUGGCUACAAAUUCUAUUGCAACAAAACUUACUUUAUUGCUAAAAUUCAUAUCUUGCAACAAAAAUUAGUCUUUAUCGCUAUAGCUAAACAGAUUUUAUUCUUCUUAAUGAUGUGGAAUAGGCAAGAAAAUUAGAAUAUAUGGCAACAAAAUAUUUUCUUGCCCUAUGCUAUGUUUGGCAACAAAAGUGUUCUUGUUGCCUAACAAGCUUAAUGAAGGCAAAAUAUGUUUCGUUGCUCAAGUUUUUCCACAACAAACACUUGAAUCAGUUGCAACAAAUGAAAUAUUGUAAAAGGUUGUGAUUAGCGAGAAAAUUUGUUUUGUACUCUCAGAGUUUUUUGCAACAAGAUUAAUUUUGUUGCGCAAAGGUUAACAAAAAUAUUAAAUUAAUAAAUGAAAAUAUAAAGAUAAUAUAAAAGCAAACAUGACUUUGUGGGAGGCUUUUUAAUUUUUUAUUUCCGCGCCCUUUAUUUAAUAAACCGCGUGCUAACCGAAGUAAAGUUUCCAUCUCCAAUUUUUUCUUAAUUAAAAUAUUGCUUCUAGAAUAUUUCCACUUUACUCUUCGCUUGUUUCUUUUGCCCUGCCUUGGAGUCAUUCUCUCUGGCCAAGCUUUAAGCCAUUGAAGAGUUGUACUUGGAAGGCACCACUCAAGACAACGAUUUCUUCAAGUAAAUUUAGUUUUAUUUUAUAUAUUGGCCUGUUGAGUUUGAUUUUGUUUAGUGGGUUUUGCUUUAAUUAUUUAUUAAGUGGGUCUUUGUUUCAAUUUUUAAUUUGUUAAAUUAAAGUUAAUGGAUUUUUCAUGGUGAAGAACUUGAGUUUGUGGACAAUAGUCAAAUGAAUGUAGGAUCUAUGCCCAGUAAUAGGAUCUUUCAUGUUAUAAUUUCUUUGACAAAAUUAUAGUUAUAUUGAUUUAUUUUUAUGUUGAUUAUUAAUAAACUCUAAUGUAUAUUUUUAAUAAUUACUAGAUGGGUCCUGGACAUAGAGUUACCAAACGUGUAAGAGCAGAAAUUGUUGUCGCAUCUACAAUUCCCCAAUCUCAGCCUGUUAUGCCCAGCCAAGAGUUUGUGCAAGGUGUUGUUACAACUCUAGAAUUUGGUACUUAAAGAGUUUAAUUGGUAGGUUUUGUUUGAUCGACUAUUAGUAAGUACUUAUGAUUAUUAAUAUUCUUCAUCUGUCAUUUUUUUUAAUUAUAAACUGAGAUAUCUUUUUUUCCUAAAUUCAGUCAAAUUUUGAGAUUGAUUUGAACUUACCACAUGUUCGUCGAUGUGUGAAUAACAUUAUGGGUGGGAGAUAUCAUGAUAUGAGACAUUGGAUGUAUGAUCAUUACUUGGAUUAUCCAUCCUUUGAAGAGGCACUUAAGCAUUCAUAUCCAGGCAUAUGUCCAGAUGAUUGGGCUUGGCUUUGUCAUAACAUUUACAAUUCCGCAAGUUUCCAGGUCCAAUGAUAUUCAUAUUAUGAACUUUAAAUUGUCCAACUAGUUGUCAAUAUGCUUGUAUAUGUAUCUUAUUUUCCACUGUUAUAUUUUUUUAAUGUAGACUCAAUCUACCAAAAACAAAGCUAAUCGUGCUAAGCUUCCAUAUGUCCAUUGUGGGGGAUCAAGACCUUUUGUUAAUUAUCUUGAGGAUGACAUGGUUGAUGGUGAAAUAGAAUUAUUUCGCGUCACUCAUUUCAGCAAGACAAAAGGUUGGGUGAAUGAGGUGGCACACUUAAACCAUGUAAGAUGCUUUGUUGGAAACAAAAUUUUUAAUUUUAUUAUUUCUUAUCACCUACAUACUGUUGAUGAAAGUUUACUCAUUGAGUUUUUUUUCUUAAUUUUUCUUUCAUGCUCUAAUUAACUUUAUUAUUUGAAAUAUCAAAUAAUUAGAUUUAUAAGUAUAACAACAAGUUUUUUUUUUUUUCAAUUUAUGUCUUAAUACAAAUUAAUUCCAUGACCAAUGGAUUAAAUUUCAACUAUUUAAUUAAUAAAAUUCUUUUUUUUCUUCCUUCGUUUACUAACAAAGCUUUACGUAUAGGACCAAAUGGUAGAGAUACAACAACAACAACAAAUAGAUCCUCAAGAAGCAAAACCACUAACUCAAAGGGAAAUAUGCAUUGAAGUACUUGGAAAGAAAACAUGCUAUUUUCGAGGACUUGGCAACGGACCACGCCCAACUUCAAACCAUGGUGUUGAUACUUCUGAGGCUGAUAGAUUGCAUGGUAUUAUAUCUUCACAACAAAGUAGAUUGGAUUCACAAGAUGUUGAGCUUCAAGAACAAAAGAAGACUAUUGAUCAAUUGGAGUCCAGAUUGUCCCAAUUUGAGGGUAUGAUGCAGCAAUUUUUUUCUUCUCAAGGAUCCGCUUUUCGCUUUACAGAUUCAGCUACUCAAUGAUUACUCAUUUCAAUGAUGUCCUUAGAGUAUCUUGAACUUGUUAGUAUUUUGAAUUGGUCAUCACUUGAUCUUUUUGGUUACUGCUGGUGCAUGUCAUAUCUUUAAGGAUUUGGAGUUUGGAGCAGUUGUAAUUAGAGAUCGUUUAUAAUUUUUGCUCAUUACAUUUUUGGGAUAGAUGACAAUCCACUUUUGUAUUUGACUAUCAUAUGUGAUUCUUAAAGUCAGUUUUGUAUAUAUAUAUAUAUAGCUUGGAUACUGAAUGGGCCUUUAACUUUUAAAUUAGUUCAAUGACAUUAAUGAUUUUUUUGUUAGAUUUCUCAACAUAUAUUUGUAGUUUAUUAUUGUCAUGGUGGGGGAAAAAAUUGGUAUCUUUCCCAACGAACUUGGUUUGCUUCCUUUUAUACCAUGAUAUUAUUAAAAAAAAUUGUACUAUUUUUUAAUGACAAAAUUGAUUUGUUUCUAAAAAUAUUUAAAUAUUUAUUGCAAAUUUGUAAAAUUUUCAACAUAAAGAAACAAAGUAGUUUUGUUGCCUAAAAUGAUCUUAGCUAACAAACACCUUUGUUGGUACACGUUUUUUUUAUAAAAUGUACUUUAUUUCUUAGCAACAAAUUAGUUUUGUAGUAAAUAACUAUAUAGAAACAAAAUUAUUUUGUUGUGUAAAACUGUUUAGCGCAACAAAAAUGUUUGUUGCCAAAUUAUUCUCUAAACAAGUUGAAGACUCCUUCACAACGAAUCUGUUUUGUUGCGAAAGGAAGUUUGAGGCGAGAAAUGUUUUGAUAUGUUGUUAAACAUAGAGGGCGACAGUGCUAGGCCGACGACGGGCCGACAAGCUUGUUUUUGUAGCAAUAACCUAUGGCAACAAAAUUGGCACUUUAGGCAACAAAAUCUUUUUGUUGCAAAAAGCCAUUUCUGUUGUGGUGGAUAUAUUGGAAGUGCUUAAUUACGUCGACUCGAAGUUGUUGGGAAUUAAUGCAUGUAUUGAUUUAUUGGGAGUGUUUAAAUGAUUUUGUGAUUUACUUGAUUGAUUGAAUAUUGUUUGAUUGCUUCAUAUCCAUUCUACAAAGUUUAUUUCUUUGUGAAAUUUCAACGAAAUAUGUUUUUUUUUUUUUAAAUAAGGGUGUUCUAAAUAAUUUUAAAAAAUAUAUGGACUAAUUAGAAUUAAUUAUUAGGUAAUUAACUCAAUCUGUACAGGGUGAAACAACAUUUAUCCUAAUUAUAUCAUGAUAAAUACUUUUCUGAUUAGAAUUAGGAAAUCAUAGGUUUAUUGAAUUGUUUUUUUUUUCCUUUGCGGAAACGGAUUAGAGAAUUAGAAAACAAUCAUGUUGAUGUCAAAAUCUGAUCUAGUCGGUUAGCGACUUAACAUCAUAUUACUGCACCAGUAUUAAAUUUAUUUGGUAGAGAAUCGGCUGGUCAAUUGUCAAGAUGUCCUGCAAUCACUAGCGAUUAACCUACGAAUACAUGAAAUCAUAGAAGACGGUAAGAGCCACCAGAAGUUUUUUCGUCGUGAAUCUUCUGACGCUCAAGUCAGUUUAUAGGUUUACCAUAAUAAAAAUAAAUAAUUUCUAUUUAAAACAAAAAAUAGAGAUCAAAAGCUCAAAAAUAAAACCCAAUCCCAAUAUGAAAAUGAAUUUCUUUUUUUUUUUUAGCUUGGCCGAAUCCUUCUGCCUCCUAAAGAAACAUAAUAGAGGAGCAGGUAGCCAUGUUCCCUAGGUAACGCCCCACUCCCCUCUUUUAUUCCUCCCCCUCUCUUCCGUUUCCUUCUUUUGCUCACUAUCCUUUAUAAUUUUUUAUGCUUGUCUUCCCAAAAUAGCCUUUGAAUACACAAGUAAAUGUCUAGGCUUUGGUGAGGAUAGUUUGGUUAUUGCAUUUUACAAGUAAGAUGAGUGGUGGAGAAAAAUGAGGAGUGCAUAUAACUCUUCAGCAAAUCCCACCAACAAUUCAAUUUUCUUAAUUAAUUAAUCUCCUUUUUUAUCCCCAAACAAAUCCUAAUGAUACUAUUAUCAGGUUUAAAACAGUACAUAAAUAGUGAAAAGCUAACUAGUCUGUAGAGUAAUUGCUAAUUGCUUUCUCCUCUCUGAGCGCGCUGAAUAAUUUGUUGCAUGCAAACUUUUUAUUAUAUGCAAAUCGUACGUACUGUAACAUUGGAAUUGAUGUAUAAGCAAAAAUACAAGAAUAUUUAUGUCAAUAAAAAUAGUUUUUUUUUCCUUUUUAAAUAAACACAACGCGAUGUUGCUCUUCUCUACAUUUUUGCUAUCUCUUUAUUCUUUUUUUUUUUUUUUGGGCUUCUUAAAGCCUCAAACUUUGAUAACCAAAACUUCAUCGACCUAUGAAAAAAAUCUGCAGAUUAGUUUUUAUUAUCGGAAUAAUUGUUUGAGAAUACUAAAACAAAAUAUAAAAUAAGAAAAUAGGAGGUUAAAUUAGAGGGGGGGGAAAAAGGCAUGUUCUAUCGAUUACUAUAGUUUAAGGGAAAAAAAAAUCCAAUUGGGAAUUUUUUUCUUUAAUUUUUGUUUUACUUGAUUGAGAUUUCUCCUUAGUCCUUACAGUUUUAAGUUUGGAUGCCGUAGGGUUAGUAAUUUAGUACUUCCUUUGCAAGCUGAGUGCAAGAAUGAAAAUCUUUUAAGAAAUUAAAAAAGAUUAAAAAAAAGCAUACCAAUAGGUAAUUAUAAAUAACCAUAAAUAAACAUAAACAAAAUGUUUAUGAAGUAAAUUACACAUGCACAUAUUUUUUUUUUGUUUUAUUUCUUACUUGUCUAUUUUAUUUGCUGCUUGAUAACCCGUAAAUACUAAUCUAUUACUGCUAAUUCCAGACACAAAAUUUUUAACUCUAGGCUGCAGUUUUACUCAAAAUGAUGACCACUGGCUUCGCACCAUUUAACCGGCAUACAUUUCUACAAAUUGAACAAGGCUAUUGAUUUUCAUUAUUAUUUUUUAUUUAUUUAUAAAUUACUAUUUUAAUUUUCACUUUUUAUUGGGUUGUUUAACGGAUUAGUGAAGUUGGUGGUCGUGAUGCACUCACAAGGUACAAUUUUAUUUUAUAAUUUCAAAUUUGUAUUUUAAAAUACAGGUACAUUAUGUAUACAUAAUUAUUGAUUUUCGUAUGUGGGUGUUUUGAAAUAUUGCUAAAAGACCAAACUUUAAUAAACUAUUUUUCAUCUUUUUUUUUCCUUUUUUCCUAGAGUUUGAGUGAUAUCCGCAUUUUAAAUUCAUGAGGAACAAAAGCUAAUGUAUGCACAAAAUUCUUUUAUUUUUUCCUAGAAAAAUGGGUAAGAGAAGAAGAUUUUUCUCUUGAAAAAGAAAAACUAAUACGAUGCAAGCAUAGGAAAGAGGUCAGUGUUUUUGGAUUAGAAUUUAGUAUUGAGCUGAAUUUUAUACUAAACUCUUUUGUGGUGCUGCGAUUAAUAAACUCAUGAUUUGCUUUUGCUUUUACUUCAAGUGAAAGAAAGAGGAAACCUUUUGUUUUUUGUUUGAUUCUUGACUAUAGAUGUUACCUAUAUAGAGAGUUGAGGUAUCUGCCUUAAGUGAUGGUGAUAAAAAGAUUAAGCAGCGCACACAAUCUUACUGUCGUCCAGACCAUCCAGCUGUGAUGACUCUAGUUUUUUGGUUACAUUAGCUUUAGUGGAAAGGAGGGCCAAUUUAACAAAGACUAGAUUUGGUGGCUUACUAUAAUGCUUAUUCUCAGGGAAUCUAAUGUUAUAAGAUGAUUUAAUGAUCUUCUAUGAUUGUGAGUAGUAUAGUAUAAUUGAAAAGAGUCUGGGCUUCUAUGAUGAAUAUAUAAUAUUAACACAGUACUGUGAUUGAAAAAAACACAGUUACAAUAUACUCUUCAUUUAUUCAUUGCGGAGAUUAAAUGGCAAACAGAGAAUAAAAUGAAGCAGAGGGAUCUCAUUGCCAGUAAAAUUGACCCUCUUUAAUGUUAUAUGGCACAGGUGUGUGUACAGCAAGAGCAAGUUACUUGCAGUUUUUAUUGUAAAAUAUACAGGUUAUGACCAUGAUCAUUGUAGUUAGGUUUUGAUGAUUUUAGAUGCUUUUUUUAUUUUUUUAAAUUGUGACACCUUUGAUUUAUGGUAGUUUUGCAGAAGAAAAAAAUAUAAAUAAAAAUUAGGAGGGAUGAGUUAACUAACGAUUGCAAUCAUUACUGUAAUGUUGAUGAGUGAUACAUCAUUUGAAAUGUACUUGUCAGUUGCUGAAAUGAUGAAAAAAAACAAUAAACAAUAGCAGUAAUAUUUUUAUGGAAAUUCAUGGUUUUUAUGGAAAUACUCUUGCUGAAAUUCUAAUUUUGACUUUCAACUCUUGGUUUUUAUGGAAAAUAAAAUGACUUGUUUAUUAUAUUCAUACAAUCCACUCUACAUAAUGAUUUCAUUUUAAUAAAUGCUUGAUGAUCUCCACUGAAAAACUACUUCAAUUCUUUUGUUUUUUUUUAACUUUUUGGUUGUUGAAAAUAGCCUUAAUUUUCAAAUAACUGGAGAAAGAGUAAAGAACAUUUAACAAAUUUAUGUGCCAAAAAUAAAUGAGAAAUUGAAGAGAAAGGGUGCUUGCAGAAGUGGGUGCAAAGAUAAAUUAGUCUAUAAGAAUUAUUGUGGUUAUUAAUUUUUUGGCAAUAUAAAAAUUUUUCAGCAAAUAAAAAUUGAUUUUUUCCGAUUUACUAAAAAAUUAAUUAAAAACUUUGGCGAUAGCAUUUUUUAUGGGGCAUGUACCCUCCCUUUUAAAAAAAAAUAUAAUAAUUAAUACUUAAUAUAGUAUUAAAUACGAAAAUCUCAAUAUUUGACUACACAAAUUUAUAUCAUUAGGUCCUUAAAAUUUAAAAUUGAAGACACAUAAUGAAAUAUAUAUAAAUUUUCAACCUCAUAGGAAAUGAUCCUCUUAUAAUCUUAAAAUAUUUGAGAUUUGAAAGAUUUUUUAAAACAAAUGUACUUUUAUUUUUGUACAAUCAAUAUUUACUUAUUUAUUAUAUUUUUAUUCAUUAACUAUCAAUCAUGUGAGUAUAUUUACUCAAAAAUAUCAUAUCAACGGAGCAUCUUGAUCCCACGCACACGCAAAUAUGUUAAUUUCUAUACGCUUCACUUACCUCUAGAAUCAAUUAUCUAAAAUGCAAGUUUGUGGCCACAAAAAAAGCCAAAGAAAGAAGAUAACAAUUGACUUGUAUAUUAUACUCAUACAAUCCACUCGACAUAAUGAUAUCAUUUUAAUAAGGCAAUGGCUGAUGAUCUCCAUUGAAAAACUAAUUCAAUUUUUUUGCUUCAUUUAACUUUUUGGUCGUUGAUAAUAACCUUAAUUAUCACAUAAUUGGAGAAAGAGUAAAGAACAUUUAACAAAUUUAUGUGCAAAAAAAAAAAAAAAGGAGAAGUUGAAGAGAAAGGGUGCUUGCAGAAGUGGGUGUCAGAGAAAAAUCGGUCCAUAAGAAUUAUUGCGGUUAUUUUUUGGCAAUAUAAAAUUUUAUAGCAAGUAAAAAUUAAUUUUUUUCCGAUUUAUUAAAAAAAUAACUAAAAACUUCUGCGACAGCAUUUUUAUGGGUGCAUAUACCCUCCCUUUAAAAAAAAUAAUAAUUAAUGCUUAAUAUAGUAUUAAAUACGAAAAUAUCAAUAAUUGACUACUCAAAUUUAUAUCAUUAGGUCCUUAAAAUUUAAAAUUGAAGACACGAAAAAAUUGAAGAUAUGAAAGGAAAUAUAUAUAAAUUUCAUUCUCAUGGAAAGGAUUCUCUUAUAAUCUUAUAAUAUUUGAGUUUUGAAAUUUUUUUGAAACAAAUGUAAUUUUAUUAGUGUACAAUCAAUAUUUACUUAUUUAUUAUAUUUUAAUUUAUUUAUUAUAUUUAGUCAGAAAAAUUAUAUCAAGAGAGAAUCCUAAUUUCACGCAAACACAACUACAAGACAAAUAUGUUAAUUUCUAUACUAUUCACUUUCCUGUAGAAUCAAUUAUCUAAAAUGCAAGUUUGUGGCUACAGAAAACUCGCCAAAGAAAGAAGAUAAUAACAAUUGAGCAUUGAUAGCAAAACUAAUGCAUCCAAUUCUUCUUGACUUGAUGAGAUGGCGCCAUAACGUAGAAACAAGUACCUAAAUUGACCGGCACUGAGUGAUGUGAAUACUACCAGCCAGUUCAUCUCUUCCAGUCUUGCUUAAUCACAAUCACAAACACCACGAGAUCGACAUUUGCAUUAUAUAUAUCUUCAGCAAUCGAAACACCUUGCAUUACCAAAUUAACCAGUAACAAACAAAGCAAUGUUUCAUGGAGAGAAAGCUUAGUCUCAGUAUGAUCAUUGUGUCAUUAACCCACUGCCUGCUUCUUUGCUUGGUUGUUGCAGCAGCAGCAGCAGCAAGCAGCAAUAUUACCACAGACCAACAAGCUCUUCUUGCCCUGAAAGAUCAUAUAACUUAUGAUCCGACCAACCUUUUUGCCCAUAAUUGGACCUCGAAUACCUCUGUUUGUAACUGGAUUGGCAUCACUUGUGAUGUCAAUAGCCAUAGAGUCACAACCUUAGAUAUUUCUCAAUUCAAUCUACAAGGCACCGUCCCUCCUCAACUUGGAAACCUCUCUUCACUCACAACACUUAAUCUUAGUCAUAACAAGCUUUCCGGAAGCGUUCCCACCUCCAUCUACACCAUGCAUACACUAAAAUUUCUUGACUUCACUGAUAACCAGCUCUCUGGUUCAGUUUCAUCCUUCGUCUUCAACAUGUCUUCAAUAUUAGACAUUCGUUUGACCAAUAACAGACUUUCUGGUGAGCUUCCGAAAAAUAUUUGCAACUAUCUUCCUUAUUUGAAAGCCCUUUUUUUGGACAAAAACAUGUUGCAUGGCAAAAUUCCUUCUGCUUUAUCAAAGUGCAAACAACUGCAACAAUUAAAUUUGCAGUUCAAUAAUUUAUCCGGUGCAAUACCAAAAGAAAUCGGCAACUUGACCAUGCUCAAAGGGAUAGACCUCGGCUACAACAAACUCCACGGUAUGUUCAUAAUACUAUGUAAAUAUUUUAAUUUCUCACUUGUUAAUUUUCUUGAAUAUCUUAGAUAAGAUUUUGUAAGUGAGAUUUUUUGCAUCUAUGUUAAUUUACCAGGUGAGAUACCCCACGAAAUCGCUAAUCUUCGAAAUCUAGAGGCUUUAGUGCUAGGAAUGAACAACCUAGUUGGUGUGGUAUCAGCUAUAAUCUUCAACAUGUCAUCACUGAAGGUACUUAUCCUCAUCAAUAACUCUCUCUCCGGAAGUCUCCCAUCAAGAAUGGACCUUUCACUUCCAACUAUUGAGCAUCUUAACUUGGCACUUAAUAGAUUUUCUGGAACCAUUCCUAGUUCCAUCACCAAUGCUUCUAAGCUCUCCUUUCUAGAGUUGGGAGGAAACACAUUUUCGGGCUUUAUUCCAAACACAAUUGGAAAUUUAAGAAACCUUGAGUGGCUCGGCUUGGCUAAUAACUCCUUGACAUCUUCAACCUCAAAAUUGAGCUUUCUUUCCUCUUUGGCAAAUUGCAAGAAAUUAAGAUCCUUAAACUUAAUAGGCAAUCCGCUUG